RNAcentral lists this long non-coding RNA (80841 nucleotides) under Jatropha curcas. RNAcentral's name for it is "long non-coding RNA (JCUR_LNC002385)". Lineage: Eukaryota; Viridiplantae; Streptophyta; Magnoliopsida; Malpighiales; Euphorbiaceae. The record is from RNAcentral.
AAAAAAAAAAAAAAAAAAAAAAAAAAAAAAACCCCAAAGACAAUUUGCUUAAAGAUCAAUACCUUUGGUUGUAUAGGAGCUCCAUUUGCGAUCUGUUUGGGAGAAUGAGAUUUUGGCAUCGACUCAAUUGGAGAAUAAGCCCGGAGAGAAGGAAGAGAUGGAAGUUUAGCAGAAGGCCUAGAUGGGUUCUCAUGUUUGCAGGAGACUGAGUUGACUCGCCUGGACUCAAGGCGUGGAAAAGGGAGGAAGCCGAGUUUAGGGGAGUCGAUUCGCCCGAGUCUAGGAAGAAAGGGACAGGGUUUGAGGUUGAGUUUGAUAGAAGUUGGAGAAGAAGAGUAUAGAAGCCUCUCCAUGGCCUCUCUCUCUCUCCUCUUUGUCACUCUCUGUUUGUGCUUUUUGUGGAGAGGUUUUACAGGGAAAGACUUUGAGGGAGACAAAGAAGGUGGGUUGGUGAGGAUAGCGUUUUGGCUGAGAGGGUUAACGGAAAAUUGAAAAUUCGGAUAUUUUCAAAAUAAAGUAAUACUGUUAAACAGUUUUUUUCUCUUUCUGUGUUUGAAGAAUACUAAAAGCUCUAAUAAUUGAUUUUAAUUUUUUAAUUUUAAUGUUUAACCAUGAUUUUUUUUAAAUUUUUAAUAUUAAAUAUAAAUAUGACUAGUAAUUAUCAUAAUAAAUGAGUUUAAAUAUUAGUAAUUUAAUAUUAUAGUUUAAAUGCACUUUUUUUAUCUAUUUUAAUGUUUCCUCUUUGUUUCAGUUUUUAUAUAUAUUAGUGCUUUUAUAACACAUAUUGCAAGUUGUCGUUAUUUGUUUUUUACUCAUUAUGCUCGUUCAUUAUUAUUUGUUAUAAUAUUAAGAUUUGUUAUAAUUUUUUUCAUAUUUUUUUAGAUUUUUAUAUAACGUAAAUAAAAUGACUAAAUAAUCAUAUUUUAUAUAUAUGUACUUUAAUUCAAUUUAUAAAUCUAACAUGUAUCUACAUUGCACUUUAACAGCACAUAGUACCACAAUGCUACUCAAUAAGUACGUUGUAAUGUAUAUACGUGUACGUAUACAAAUUUCUCCAUAUAUUUAAGAAUUAAUAACAUAUUCAUUUUUUAUCUAGCCAAACAAUUUUAAAAGGCAAUAUAUAUAUAUAUAUAUAUAUAUAUAUANNNNNNNNNNNNNNNNNNNNNNNNNNNNNNNNNNNNNNNNNNNNNNNNNNNNNNNNNNNNNAUAUAUAUAUAUAUAUUAUUUCUCUCCUAAUUAAAAACCUUUAAAUUAUAAUCAAAUAUUAAUUAUAUAUUUUAACUGGUAUUUAAAUUAAAAUUUUUAAUUAAAUAUUUUAAAUUACAAUCAAAUAUUAUAUAUGAAUUUUUAUUUAUUUGAUUUUUUAAUUUUUUUCUUAUUUCUCUCCUAAUUAAAAUAUUUUAUUGUAUUAUAUAUAUUGUUAUAUUAAAAUUUUUGUUCACCAUAUCAAAUAUUUUUAAAAUAUAAUUAUUAUAUAUUUGUUAAAAUUUAUGUACUCAUCACGCUCUAGUAUCUUUUAAAUUAUAAUCAAAUAUUAUAAUUAAAUAAUAUAUAUUUUUAAAUUAGAUAUUUCUAAUUACUAUUUAAAAUAUCUUAAAUGACGAUGAAAUAUUAAAUUUAAACUUUUAUUAUUUUUUCUUUUUCCUUAUUGUUCUCCUGAUUAAAACCUUUUAAUUAAAUUACAAUUAAAUCAAAAAAAUUUUUAUAUUUUUUAAGUUAAAAAUUUUUUAAGUUAAAUUUUUAAUCAUGAAAUACUAUUAUGUAUGUUAGUGCAAAUUUCAAUAUUUUAAGAAAUCUCAUUAUGUUUCACUUUUUUUAUAUAUUUAUAUACAGUAUUUAUAGAGAAAUUAUUAUUAUUAUUAUUACUCCAUUAUUUAUGGCUUUGAUGCUUAUUAGUUAUGAUAGUUGCGUGGCCCAUUAAAUUAUCGUUGACUAUACUAAAAUAAAGUAGCGGUUUCUGUUUGGCCACAACAAACCCUUAUAAUAAUCAGGUCCCUCCCGAUGGUUUAUGGUUUAUAUAUUUUGUCAUGUAAAUAUAUACAAAUGUAAAGCUAUCUUAUUUAGGGUCUAUCCACGGCACUAGUUGUUAUAGAAGUUGUUAGUUGUUUUAGGAGCCGUUAACCAUUAGUUAUUUAUAUAGUAGUUAAAAUAAAAGUGUUUGCUAAAAAAAUAACUGUUUGAUUAGCUGUUAUAAAUCAAAUGACAAAAAAUGACAUUGAAAUGUUGACUUUAAAAAUUGAUAUAUAUAUAUAUAUAUAUAGAGUAGCAAGUGUUUUUUUUCUUUUCUAAAUUAUUAUCAUUUUUUUUUUUAUAGCAAAAGAUUAUUUCUUAUAGAAUUGAAAUGAAAAAACUAAAAAAUUAUUUCUUGUAAUUUUUAUUUUAAGGUAAUAAGAAAUAACAAAAUAGAAUAAUUAAAAAUGACAUGUGAAACGCUAAAUGUUUGGAGAUUUAACAUUUAAUGAAACGAUGCCUAAUUUCUAAAUGUUAAUAUAAAUAUUAUAUUACCGAAAGAUGUAAUUAAUAGAAUAAUGUUGUUGUCAAGUAAAUCCUUAUUCCGUUUGGCUGAUAUGAUUUUUUUUUUUUUUUUUUUUUACUUCAAAAAAUAUUUUGAAGCUUUCCCAUUUUCAUGUUGAGUUGAAGCUUUCAUUCCACGAAAGAAUCAAAGUUCAGAAAUAUAAGUUUUUAGUUUAUCCCUUAAAAACUCCAUUUUUUAAAGUUAAAUAAUAGUUUAUUAAAUUUUUAUACGGAAAAGAGAAAGUUAAAACAAUGAAAUUAGGCUUCAAAAAUAAAAAAUUUUUUAAUUUUUUAAAAUUUUUCGAAACAUAUCACAAUCAGUUCAAUUUAAAUAAUUCGAAAUUGAUUGCUAAAUCAGACGUAUGGACUGCUGAAUUGAUUUAAAAUCAUAAAAUUCAUAAUUCCUAUUGACAUUUAUAAUCAAUAAUACCAUUUAGAGGGAGACCUUCAAAUUGCAUAAUUAAUUUAUUUUUUUUUUAUUUAUUGAAAGGCUUAACGGGUCAAGUUAAUACUGUGAGCUACACAAUAUAAAUAACAUUCCUCUGAAUUAACCAAAUUGGUAAAAACACUUAUAAUCGGGAGAACUCGAACUCGAAACCUCUCACUUCGUAUAAAUGAGAAGAUCAAUAAUACCACACUCCUAAUCGGUAUUAAUUUUUUUUAACAGCAUAAUUAAUUUCUUAUAAAAUGAGAGAGAUAUAAUAAAUAAGCUCUAAAUUAAUAAUUGAUACAAUGAGCCCAAAAGCGAAUUUGUCGAGGUGGCUAAUAGGAUAACAGAUAGAUUCAAUUACUUGGAGGUUUCCAAUUGUGAGAACAAAAGCUUUGAAUAUAUCAAACAGGAUAACUUAUCCGGUAGCCAUUUUUUUCAAAAAAAAAAAAAAAAAAGUGCAUAAAUUAAAAAGUCCACAUAUUAACACGUCAAACUUUGCGGUUGCGCUCACGCUAACACGCAUUCUCAAGGCGCCUCCUUGCGCUCGGCACACGCACCCAAUAGAUACUCCGCACGUUCAAUUUAAGAAGGCAGUGGACAGUUGUCCAUAUUAAUUCAAUUUUAAGAGCGAACACACUUGUCUACACCAGCUGUAUUAGCACAUCAAUACAAGAAAUAAAUAAUUAGUUGCGAUUUGAAAAAAUUAUUUUAACUAUUUUGCAGAACCGCAUAACACCGGUUCAAAUCAAAUCAAACCGAUGUUAAAUUGUGAUUUUAAAAGUUAGUGAUUUGAUUUGUAAAAUUUAAAGAUUUAGGUUUUAGUUAAAUUUAUGGUUUUAUAUUUAAAAUUGUGCAAAUCGCACCAAAAUGUUUUAUAUCUAUAAAAACUUUUAAAUGCUAAAUAAUUUAGUUUAAUUUUUAAUGAAAAAUUUCUCUGCAUUGCUUAGUUUGUAUUGCAUAAUAAUUAUAUAUAAUUUCAUAUCAUUUAAAUAAGUUAUAUAAUUAUAUUAUUUGUAAGUUCAAAUGUCAAAUAUUUUAAAAUGAUGACUAUUCACUGCUUAGUUUUUUUUUUUAAUAUUUAAAAAAAACUAAAAUAGAUACACUCAUUAUCUACUUUUCUUUUUCACUUGUUUCAAAUUAUAAUAUUUUUCAAAAAAAUAAUAAUUUUUGUAGUUUAUUAUUUUAUCUCUAUUUAAUGUGUAUUUCUUCCAACAAAUAUGCCACUAUUAUAAUUAGCUAAAUCUUGAAAUAAACAAAACAAGGUCACUAUUAUUGUCACAUAUAUUAACCAACCUAUUUUUAAUUACAUUUAUUCUUGUAUUAAAAACUUACUGGUAUUAGAACCCGCGCGAUGUAUGAAACAAUAUUAAAUAAUGAAAUAACAUCAUUCAAAAAUGAUCGUAAUCAAAAUUAUAUCUCAUUAAGAUAUGCAGAAAAUGUUGGAAUGCUAAGAUGUGUCUUUUUAAGUAUCCUCUAAAGCAUUUCACUAUGAUAUGUAAAAGUAAAAGUUAUACAUGGUAUAACCUGUAUAAAAAAAUAUACACACUAUUAAUUUAUUUUUAAAUAGUAAUAGUGAUUUUGGGAAUUUAACUAAUUAUAUUGAAAUAACAAAUUAAUUAUUUUUUAUAUUAUGUUUAUAAUUUAUUGUAAAUGAUUAUUUAUUUAUUUAAAAUAUUAAUGUAUUAGACUUAUUUAGUGUAAUGUGUCAUGCGCGUGUGGAUGUCAUACUUUUUUAAAAAUAAUCGUAUCUCGUACGUUCCUGCAUCUCGUAUCCUGUGUUCCGUGUCUGUACAACUUAACUCUUGGUAUAUGAGACUACUAUAUACACUAAGUCAAUCAACUAAGGUUAUUUUUUAUUAGCAAGAAAAAAUAAAGUUUUUUUUAAUUCAUUUUUGUGUCCUUUUUUUUUUAUUAAUGAAUGAUCACAAACACUGUUGUUACAACUAAAAAUAUAUUUCGAUAGUCUUGGUAAGUCAUUAGUUUUUGUCAAACUCUAUAAUUAUUUCCAUCAAAGAGAGAUAUUUUAAUGAAAACUGAUAAAUAAAUUGAAAUGAGAGGAUGUUAGCUUUAGGCUCCAUAUUGAUAAGAUUGGCCGAUAAUUUAACUAAUUAUAUUGAAAGAAAAAUUAAGUAUUUUUUUUAAAUUUGUUUUAUCUUUUUUUUUUUAAAAAAAAUAGUUCAACAACUUAAUUUAGAAUUAUAAUAUUUGUCAUUUUAUAAUUCAAAAUACUGCUAAGUGGUAAAUUGUACUAUUUACAUUUGGUUUUCAUAUAAAGAAAACUACUCUCCUUUUAUAUAUUAUAUAAAUAAAUUAGGUCUGGCCAAUACUUGAUAUUUUUCAAAACUAAAUUAAGAAAAAAUAAGAAGAAACUAAAAUUUAUUUCAAAAAAAACUUAUAUUACUUAAUUUUUUAUAUAAAAGAAAAUAAAAUUAAUUUUUCUCUACAAAUUUAUUUAUAGUUUUUUUAUUUUCUUUCUAAUUUGAAGAGAAAAUUAUCGAAAUUCUUUUUCCUUAUAUUCAUUUCUUAUUUUCAAAUUAAAUAAUUUUUGCUUAUUAAUAUUAGUUUAGCUUUCUUUUCUCUUCAAUAUUAUUUGAAAAUAUAAAACAAUUUAUUUCCUUACAAUAGUUUUCAUUAGAACUAAACUCUUUAUAAUUGUGCUAAAUAACUUUACAUUUGGCAAUUGGCAAUUUGAGAUUGACACUUGUCUGUCGUUUAAAAUAUACUGCGUUAAUUAGUGUUGUGAUCUAUCUUUUAGGGCCAGAUUGAUAUUAAGAUUUGGUAAGUUUAAAGCGAUGGAAGUCCAUAAUAAGUCUAACCUAGUAACCUACUAAACAAAUAAUAGCAAAAUCCAUAUAUCAUUUGGGCCUUAGGCCCACUAUCCAAGCAGUCUCUAUGACAGAUUGCCAUCGAUAAAUAUAUAUCCAUAGUUGUGAUACUCAGCUCGAAUCAAUUUACAUAACCAAUAAGAUACUUAUUUCACAGUGAAAAUUUUAAUGGAGGCUCAACAUCCUUUAUUCGUUCAGUAAUAUUACAAAUACUCACAUCACACUAAUUACUUUUAACUAAUACAAUCGCUUCUCUUCUUUUUUUUUUUUUUUUAUUCAUACAUUUCAAUUUAAACUACACUUUCGCCGUUAAACUACAUCUAUGGCUUUAUUUGCUUCCAUAAAAUAACUUAUCAUUAUUAUUAAUAUUUUUUAUAGUCUUAUGAGACAAAGACUUUAAUAUUUUUAACUAUAUUAUAACUAAACAACGAAAAAUAAAUCACUUGGAAAAUAUUUGUCACUUGAAUUGGAAAAUAUAUUGUUUAGCAAGUUAUUUUACGGAUCAUCUAUUAAAAUGAUGUAGCAUGAUUACUCAUGGACCCUAGCAUGUUACUUACCAAUUGAAAUCCAAGAUGAGCCUUGAUUCAAAUCUCUGCUACUGUUAGAACAGGUAGAUUAAAAGCGAUGUGAAGAUCUUCUGCUUCACGUCCUGUGACUUUUAAAUACCAGAGUUUUGGGGACUGGCUUUGAGCGAGUGUGAGCCAAUGCAAAUGUCUAACCUUGAUAGGAAUUUUGAGACCUUAUAAGCCCCAGCUCUCUCCGAACCCUGACAAGCAAAGAGAAAGAUAUGUAGAGAGUGAGUUUCGAGGAUGAGUUCACUCGAAUGUGGUUAAGUCGAAAUUCAAACUAUUUGGAGGGUGUGAUCAAAAGGAGAGAGAAAGAAGACAACAACAAAGAGGAGGAUGAUCGAAGUAAAGAGGAGGCAACGACGGAGGAAGAUGAGGAAUGGAUGUUGAGGUGGCUGUAGUAGGGCAAAAUGAUGACAUUUGGGGAAAAGAGUGAGUUUUGAGCCCUUGGUGUGUUUUAAUAUUCAAGUUAAACUAAGGAUAGUCAUAGUAUAUGAAUUCUACUUUUACAAUAUUUUAUUUAAAACUCUAAGUUAAAUUUAAAAUUAAAGAAAAAAUAUACCUAAUUUUAUAAAUUGGAAUUAACUAAAGUAUAAAGAACAAAUAGGUCGAUUUGAAGCCUCAUUUCCAAUAUAUAUAUAUAUAUAUUUUUAUAACAUAGUUGUAAUGCUUUAAAAUAUAAUUUUUUUGAUAUUGCUGCACAAAUUUAUUUAUUGUUCUUAUUAAUUUAUAUUUGUUUCCCUCCAAAUUUUGAAAUCUAUUUCUACUUCCUAGGCAUGGUGGUUCAGGUUCGAGAUAUUUAAAAUUUUGAACUGGAAUCGACCCUUGAACUUUUGGUUCCGACACAGUUCAGGCGAACCGACAGUUUGAAUUACGGUUCCGAUUCGAUUCCGGCAUUACGCAAAUUUUUAAAAAAAUAAUAAAAUUUUGAUUUCGAAUUCAUAAUAAAUAAUAAUUUUAAAAUGUUUCAAUUUUAUUAACUAAAUAAAUUAUUAUAAAAUUUUAAAAGAAAAACUUCUAUUAACUAACUUAGAACUAUUAUUACAUUAAAUUUACAAAUUUUGCUAAUUCACUAAUAUAGAAAACCAUAAAUGGAAUGAGUUGGAAAUUAUUAUUUUCAAAUACUAAGAAAAUUAUUAAAAAAAUUAAAUGAAGUAAAUUUAUGAAUGGAAAAAAUUGAGAUUAAAGAAAGAAUUUGGAAUUGGAUGUAAGAAAAUAAAAAAUAAAUAAUAGAUAAUUCCAAUAUUAAGGAAAAUAAAGCAAUAGAAAAAAUAAUGAACUAUGGAAAUUUGAGAGAAUUUUGAUUGAGAAUAAGAGAAGAGUUGAGAUAUAAUUGGUUGUGAAAUAAAAAGUCAUCAACUCAUCAUAUUUAUACAUGUUUCUCAUUUAUUAGUUUCCCAAAUUGUCCCUUAUAACAGAAAAAUAACAGCUAUAUUUUUGGAUAAUUUAGUAAAUUACAGUAAAUAAAUAAAUAAAUNNNNNNNNNNNNNNNNNNNNNNNNNNNNNNNNNNNNNNNNNNNNNNNNNNNNNNNNNNNNNNNNNNNNNNNNNNNNNNNNNNNNNNNNNNNNNNNNNNNNNNNNNNNNNNNNNNNNNNNNNNNNNNNNNNNNNNNNNNNNNNNNNNNNNNNNNNNNNNNNNNNNNNNNNNNNNNNNNNNNNNNNNNNNNNNNNNNNNNNNNNNNNNNNNNNNNNNNNNNNNNNNNNNNNNNNNNNNNNNNNNNNNNNNNNNNNNNNNNNNNNNNNNNNNNNNNNNNNNNNNNNNNNNNNNNNNNNNNNNNNNNNNNNNNNNNNNNNNNNNNNNNNNNNNNNNNNNNNNNNNNNNNNNNNNNNNNNNNNNNNNNNNNNNNNNNNNNNNNNNNNNNNNNNNNNNNNNNNNNNNNNNNNNNNNNNNNNNNNNNNNNNNNNNNNNNNNNNNNNNNNNNNNNNNNNNNNNNNNNNNNNNNNNNNNNNNNNNNNNNNNNNNNNNNNNNNNNNNNNNNNNNNNNNNNNNNNNNNNNNNNNNNNNNNNNNNNNNNNNNNNNNNNNNNNNNNNNNNNNNNNNNNNNNNNNNNNNNNNNNNNNNNNNNNNNNNNNNNNNNNNNNNNNNNNNNNNNNNNNNNNNNNNNNNNNNNNNNNNNNNNNNNNNNNNNNNNNNNNNNNNNNNNNNNNNNNNNNNNNNNNNNNNNNNNNNNNNNNNNNNNNNNNNNNNNNNNNNNNNNNNNNNNNNNNNNNNNNNNNNNNNNNNNNNNNNNNNNNNNNNNNNNNNNNNNNNNNNNNNNNNNNNNNNNNNNNNNNNNNNNNNNNNNNNNNNNNNNNNNNNNNNNNNNNNNNNNNNNNNNNNNNNNNNNNNNNNNNNNNNNNNNNNNNNNNNNNNNNNNNNNNNNNNNNNNNNNNNNNNNNNNNNNNNNNNNNNNNNNNNNNNNNNNNNNNNNNNNNNNNNNNNNNNNNNNNNNNNNNNNNNNNNNNNNNNNNNNNNNNNNNNNNNNNNNNNNNNNNNNNNNNNNNNNNNNNNNNNNNNNNNNNNNNNNNNNNNNNNNNNNNNNNNNNNNNNNNNNNNNNNNNNNNNNNNNNNNNNNNNNNNNNNNNNNNNNNNNNNNNNNNNNNNNNNNNNNNNNNNNNNNNNNNNNNNNNNNNNNNNNNNNNNNNNNNNNNNNNNNNNNNNNNNNNNNNNNNNNNNNNNNNNNNNNNNNNNNNNNNNNNNNNNNNNNNNNNNNNNNNNNNNNNNNNNNNNNNNNNNNNNNNNNNNNNNNNNNNNNNNNNNNNNNNNNNNNNNNNNNNNNNNNNNNNNNNNNNNNNNNNNNNNNNNNNNNNNNNNNNNNNNAAAAAACUAUAAAUGGAAUAUAAAAUUAAUGGAAUGAGUUGGAAAUUAUUAUUUUCAAAUACUAAGAAAAUUAUUUAAAAAAUCAAAUGAAGUAAAUUUAUGAAUGGAAAAAAUUGAGAUUAGAGAAAGAAUUUGGAAUUGGAUGUAAGAAAAUAAAAAAUAAACAAUAGAUAAUUCCAAUAUUAAGGAAAAUAAAGCAAUAGAAAAAAUAAUGAACUAUGGAAAUUUGAGAGAAUUUUGAUUGAGAAUAAGAGAAGAGUUGAGAUAUAAUUGGUUGUGAAAUAAAAAGUCAUCAACUCAUCAUAUUUAUACAUGUUUCUCAUUUAUUAGUUUCCCAAAUUGUCCCUUAUAACAGAAAAAUAACAGCUAUAUUUUUGGAUAAUUUAGUAAAUUACAGUAAAUAAAUAAAUAAAUGAUUAAAAAAUAAAUAAAAUUUAUUUACCAAAAAAUAAAUAAAAACCACCUAUCAUAUAAAAAAUUAUCCGUUACACUCUUUUUUUUUUACAGUUGAAAGUAUUUUUUUUUCACCACUUUUUAUAACUUAUAUAUCAUUUUACUUCUUUUCACUAUAAAUCAAAUCAAGUGAUAUAAAUUUUUUUAUAAAAAUUUUAAGCUACAAUUUUUUGUGCAUCCGGUUCGAACGGGACCGGAACCGCCGGUUCCGGUUCAUAUUUUAACAUUGACAUGAAUCUUAACCGGCCCUUGAACCGUCGGUUUCUGUUCGAUUUCAAUUCGUCAACAGUACGGUUCGAUUCCGAUUAGAAUCGAACCGGUGGCAUGCCUACUACUUCCGAUCUAAGAUUAUUUAUUUAGUUUUAGAUGUAGCGUAUUUUUAAUUUUUUAUUACAGGUUCUUGUAAUAUACCUUGGAAAAAAAAAAAAGAACUUAAAAAACUAGUGCGUCUGACGCCGUAUUCUCUGUUUGGUCACUGAGUUGUCAAUUUGUUGAGGCAUGGUAAACCUGGCAUUAUAUAAACCAUAAAGGACCAAUAAGUAAUUCCGUACCAUCGCAAUCCAAAACCAAAAGGGGAAGGGUCUUCACGGAACCCCUAUAAAUAUCACAAUUUCCUCAAUUUCUCUCAUUUUUUCCGGUUUCACCUUUGUCCUUCCUCUUUCCCGCUCUCUCAAGGGUUAGGGUUUCUCUUUUUCCAAAAUUUCAAUCACAGUAACAAUGUCGACAUCCAAGAAAGUCACUCUCAAAUCGUCCGACGGCGAGACUUUUGAGGUGGAGGAAGCGGUGGCGGUAGAGUCGCAGACUAUAAAACACAUGAUCGAGGAUGACUGCGCCGACACUGAGAUACCGUUGCCUAACGUGACCAGCAAGAUCUUGGCUAAGGUCAUCGAAUACUGCAAGAAGCAUGUCGAGGCCGCCACUGCUGAUAAGGACAAGGAUAAGUCCUCCUCUGAUGAGGCUCUCACGACUUGGGACGCCGAUUUUGUCAAGGUUGACCAGAAUACCCUUUUUGAUCUCAUCCUGGUAAGCUUUUACUUUUCUUUUUAUUUCUUGCCUAGCUUUCACUUUCUUAUUUCUAAUCUUGAAUAAUUUGCUGUCUCUCUUAAUUGUGUGUUAUUUCUUCGAAUGAUACAGUAAGUUUUACUGACGUUGAAUAAUUUUACAAAUUCUCCUCAUAUUGAUUUGUGUUCGUUUUUUGUUUGUUGUGUUGCACUUAUGAGCCUAGAUGUUUGUGAGCACUUAGGUGAAAUUCAGGAUAUUAAUAAUCCGAUUAUGGUUUUUUUUUUUAGAUUAUCAGAAACUGGGUCUUAUUUGCAGUUAGAAUAUAUCUACGGGUAAUGGGUAGAUUAUCCAUACAAUUAGAGACGGGACUCAUUUGCGUUUUAUGUUAUAUGUUCAUUAUAUAAUUGCAAUUUUGUAAACUUUGUAAAUGGUUUGGGAUUCUGAUGAUAUUAAUGUUAUAUAGAAAAUAUAGUUUGGUGGAUUUCUUGUUGAUUGUACCUUUCUAUAUAUUGAUAGCUUCUGCUUUACUGUGUUUUUUAGUAAUAAACUAUGAAACAUGAACCUGAUUUCAAGUCAUGUGCUAGGAAAGGUGAUCUUUAUGUGUGGGGCUUUUACAUGGGUAACUGCCUUCUUUUUGACUUUUCUUUUAUAUGAUUCUGCUUUAUAGCCUUUUCUGUUUAAUUUGCUUUUUUGCUCACCUACUUUUAUCUAUUUGUGCAGAAUAUGUCUUUUACUUUGUGUAUUGUGUGUUAUCUUUCGUCGUCCUCGUUAAAGAUGAGUUGCAAUCACUCAUUUCUAAUUAUUUUUGCAGGCUGCUAACUAUUUGAACAUCAAGAGUUUACUAGAUUUGACUUGCCAGACUGUGGCUGACAUGAUCAAAGGGAAGACUCCGGAGGAGAUUCGCAAGACAUUCAACAUUAAGAAUGAUUUCACCCCAGAGGAAGAAGAGGAGGUUCGAAGGGAGAAUCAGUGGGCAUUUGAAUGAUGAAUGUAAAAUGUCCUUGCAAUGUGCAUAUGAUGGUAUGAUGAUAGGAAUGUCGAUAUACGAUAGGAUGCUGUUUUUGUUCUGUGUCUCUUAAUGUGGAGGAUGAUUGGAAAUUUCCUUUUUAUGGUUGACAGCAUGUUUCUUUGAACACCUUAUUCUAAUGUAAUAGAGUUGAUAUCUAAAUGUGCAUGUCUCAGUUGAUUAUUUUUUUUCGUUGCUUUGCUUUCUUCCUUCAGCUGGUUGCUAUGCAUUAUGAUAAUUGCAAAUUUUGUUCCUGACUGCUAAUUCACAGGAAUGUGAUUGUUCAAUGCAUGGUUUAGCUGAUGAUCAACACUAAGGAUGUAUUGUCUGCUUCUUUAAUUGCUGUCAUUUCUUGCUCGAAUAUGACAGGGUAUAUCAUAUGAAAUAGAUUUUUGAUUAAUCGUGCAAUUUACAUAGGAUAUAAUCAAUUGUAAAAUCAAUAGUUGCUUAUGAAAUAUUUAUUAUUUUUAUUGUAAACAAGGAAAUAUUGAAAGAAUAUCAUUUAUUACUUUUUGAAAUAUACAAAAUGACUUAUAUUUUGAAUCAAAAUAAUAAAUUAAAAAUGAUUUAUAUUUCGGAACAGAGAGAGUAAUCUAUAACUGCCAUCAAUCAAUAUCAACCGUUGAACUAAGUAGACCCAUAGUCUUUAUUGGUUUCAUUCAUUGCUCUUCGCCCCUUCUAGUCUUUAUUUUCUCUUUGGAACCAAUUCAGUUGUUUCCCCUUGUUUUAGGGGGGCCUAUUUUGGUAGAAUUGAGAGAUUCUUAAUAUCUUUUAACCAGUCUAAGGAUUUAUACGAUGAUGGUACAAAAAAAUUGCUUGGAUAUUUCCAUUUGAAGUUUAGAUGUUUUGGUACUAUGAAAGAUUGUUACUCGACUUAUUCCCUCCAUUCCGUUCGAAUUUGAAUGUUCUUAAUUUUUCAUAAGAAUUAAUGUUUAAAUCACCUUAAUUUUAAAAAAAAUAAAAAUAAUUAACUACUUUUUAAUUAAUGCUUAUUUAAUUGAAACAAAAUUUAUUGUAGGAAUUUUUUUUAGAAUAAAAUUUAUUAUAGAUAUUUAGACAAGAAUAAGUUGAAAUAAAAUAAUUAAUGAAAUAAAAUAAUUAAUGCUAUUUUGAUUUUCUAAAAGUGUAAUCUAAUACUACCUUCGUUCCAUAAUACUUGUUACAUUUGUGGUUUCAAGAAAUAAUAAAUAUCUUUCCAUGUUUACCCUUUGUAUAUGGCAAUAAUUAUUAUUUUAAUUUAAUGGUUUUUUUUUGAAAAAAUUAACAUUAAAUUAAGGAUAAUAUAGUCAAUUUACUCAAUAAUUGAUUAUAACUUAGACAAAUUUAAUGUUUUUCUUAAGGAAUGUGAAAUUCCAAAUGUUACAACUUCCUUUGUCCUAUUUAUAUAGAGAAUGUCAAAAUUUCUCUAGAAUUAAUGAGGUGGUCUUUUUGUGAAAUUCUUCCUAAUUUACCCCUAAAAAGAUAUUGAAGUGGUCCCCAAAUUUCAAUAAAAGGUGAUAAAUGAUGAGAGAGAGGAUAUGCUGCUUAAAUAAAGCAUUUUAUUUGUUUAGACUUUCAAUUGCAAAAAAAUGUAGGCCGAUUAAUUGCAAUUGCACACUAAAAUUUCAUUAUUAAAUUUGGCUUGAAAAAAUUAGCGUGGAAGUUGAAAGAAAGUUUGAAGCCAAAAUUUUCUACUUUAAAUUCUUUAUUUUGCUUCUCCAAAUUAACGUAUAAAAAAGUGAAAUUUUAAGUCAAAAGUUUUCAAAACUGAGUGAGUUCACAAUUUUAAAAUUUAAUCCACCAAUAUCAUGGACACAAUCCUUCAUUUUGAUUUGAAUACGGUCCCUCAAUAUUUGCUUGCAACUUCAGAAGAUGUGCCCAUAUUCAACAAUCAACCCUUAGAUUUGAUCUCCUUGUCAUUCACUCAAUAACCGCCUUCUAUAGAAUCUGAAACCACACCACCACCAAGUAACGUUCCAGAAGAGGUUCGAAAAGACAACAAAAGGAAAAACAUCAUUGAAAAUGUGAAAAAUACAGUUUGUAUAUUACUAUUUUCUGAAACUGAAAAGGGCGAGUCAAAUGCUCACAGUAUUCGUAAAGUUGCAGACAUUUUAUCCAUAUCUACUAAGACAAUUUACAGAAUUUGGCAUAACGUAAAAAAUAAUAAUUAUUUUUAUUUAAGCAAUGAAAUUAUGGUUUAGAUUUUGUAUCUCUUUCUUUAGCCAUUUAAGGAGUUCAUGAGAGUAAAUAUAAAUUGCCACAAAUAUUUUUAUUUAAGCACUGUCGUUUGGAGGAAAAUUUUCCUUCAUUCAGGAGCUGUGAGUAAAUUGCACUGUAUGUGCACACUUAAAUGUUAAGCAUAAGCUUCUUAGUGAAAUUUAGUCUGUGUGCAUAAUGUGCUUGAAUCCCAUAUUUUCUUAAUGCACAGUUCAGUCAAUUUUUGAACAUUAAAUGUCAACCACAAUAAUGUCUGCCACUUUCUUAAAAUACUAUUAAAGUAAAUGUUUAAUCUAUAAACUAAAGCAAGAGCAUAUUGGAUUUUUUGCUUUGGCAUUAGUCCCAAAUUACCAUAUUUGGAAAAUUUCUCUAUAUAAAUAGAACGUUCCAAAAGGAAAUUUUCUCUAUAUAAAUAGAAUGGAGGGAGUAUUAUAGAACAGAGGUAGUAAUAGUAAAUCAUAAAUUCUAACAGAUUUUUACUUUUAAAACUUUCAAAAAGAAAAAAAAAACUUUCAUUCAAAUCAAAAUCCUCAUUAUACUAUCUCUGUUCGAUAAUACUUGUCACAUUUAGAAUUUCACUUUUGUUAAAAAAAUAUUAAAUUUUUCCAAGUUACAAUAAAUUAUUGAGUAAAUUGAUUAUAUUACCCCUAAUUUAAUACUAAUUCUCCAAGAAAACCAUUAAAUUGAAAUAAUAGUUAUUGGUUAUAUACAAAGGGUAAACAUGAAAAAAAUAUUUAUUACUCUUUGAAACCACAAAUAUGACAAGUAUCUUGGAACAAAUUAUUUUCUCAAAUGUGACAAGUAUUAUGGAACAGAACAUUUAAUUUUAUGUAUAUGAGAAUCUGUUUCAUUUUUGCAACUAACUUUCAAAUGUUUUUUUACUAUAUAUAUAUAUAUAUAUAUAUAUAUAUAUAUAUAUAUAGAAACACCCCGAAUUUUUAUUUUUGAAACCUUUGAAUUUUUAUUAAAUUAAAAAUCAGAAAUUUUGACUAUGUGGGCUACGAAUAGAAUAUAGUCUCGAUUCGAGCUCAAAUUUGCCAGCUCAGCCCAAGCCCAAAAAUAUAUUAUCGGAAUCUUCGAUACAUUUAAUUUUAUGUAUAUGAGAAUCUGUUUCAUUUUUGCAACUAACUUUCAAAUGUUUUUUUACUAUAUAUAUAUAUAUAUAUAUAUAUAUAUAUAUAUAUAUAUAUAUAUAGACACACCCCGCGUUUUUUUUUAUCCAAAAAUCAAGUAUCAUUAUUAUUAUUGUUUUUAUUGUUAUGGAGUAAAAUGGAGAAAUGUUAUGGAAUCUAACUAAAUUAAUCAAAAUAAAUCGAACCGGGCCCGAAAUUCAAAUUUAUUUUUCGAAAACCACAUGAAUAACCUGAAAACCAAGUAAAAAAAACCUGCGAACCGAGCAAAAUCGAGCCAAAUCUUUGAAUCAGACCAAAUCGGUUCGAAUCGAACCGGAAUGAUCUAGAAAUCGACUUAGUUUCUUCUGUUCUUCCUCUCUUCUUCUUCUUCAGCACGCGCGACAGCCUCCUUCUCCUCCCUUUCCUUCUCAUUUCCGACCCUCGCUCGACGAGAGCGAGGUGGCGAUCGCCUUCCCUGGGGCCUUUAAUCCAUUUUCCCGCCUCCUUCCCCGCUAGCAGAGCCUCCAGUGGCGCGAACGAGACUGUCCCCGUCGACAGUUCUCGUUCUUCGAUCUCUGGCGAUACCAGGCGAUUCUGGCAAUGUGAAGCUUCAAGGUGAGCUCUGAUUGAUUCCUCUGUCUUGUGUGAACAAUUCCCAUCCAAGAAACGACGGUUUUGGUGGAAGGAACUGGAACCGCCAUGAAUAGCGGUAAGGGGCUGCUAUCAAGCUCGUUUCGACCAACUAGAGGGUUGAUCUCACUAAACCAACGCCGGAAAUGGAAUCCUUGCUGAAUUUCAAGUUGAAUGGUAUGAUCGUGGCGAAUUUCUGGGCAUUAUUGAUUUUCUGGCCACUGUAAACGGCGGAGGCGACUGCGUUCCGGUGACCGGCCGGCGAGACUCCGGCGAGGCACCAAGGACAGAAUUUUCCUCUCUUCGCGAGGAUUGUGGAAUCGUCACCCAAAUUUCAAUCGGUACGUUCUAAGACCAAUUUCCUAUUUUUGGUAUAAAUGCUUAAACUUAAUACUUAUUAGUUGAUUAAAUUAAAUUUGAAUGAAUAAUCAAUCAAAUAUAAUUUUUGCUAAGAAUCAAUCGAUAUAAUGUGGAUGCAAAUUAGUUCUGCAUAUUGUUAUAUAUAUUUCAUGAACAUUAGUUACAACUAGAAGGUUCGGUAUUAAGAUAAGAAUUCCUAGCUAAUAUUUAUGUAAGCUAAUUUAGGAAUUUUAAUAAAUAUUGGUAGGGGAGAGUUAUAAUUUAAGGCUUAGACAAGUAAAUAGUUUUAAAGCAAUUAAUAAUAUCAUUGAAUCAUGCUUGGAGGUUAAUAUAGUUUGUUAAUUAGUUAAUUUGGAACNNNNNNNNNNNNNNNNNNNNNNNNNNNNNNNNNNNNNNNNNNNNNNNNNNNNNNNNNNNNNNNNNNNNNNNNNNNNNNNNNNNNNNNNNNNNNNNNNNNUGGGUUGUGUGAAUUGAUUGAUCGAAUAAUUGAUAAAUAAGGUUAUGGCGGACGGGAUGAGUUGAUUUGAAUUGACCGACGGAUGGGCUUAGAUAUUAUAUUGUUGAAUUGUGGUUUAGUCAAAUUUUAGGGGAGGUGCUGCCGAAAUUUCAAUAGAAUCUAGACUAGUUUUAAUUAAUGACAUAAUUAAUAAGUUUAUUUAGAUUAAUUCUAUAACUUAAUACAUAAUAAAUAGAGUGCACUGAUUAUUUAUUAUCUUUAUUAUUCAUUUAAUUAUUUAAUUAUUUAUUUAUUUGCAUUGAUUUUGGAUGUUUAAUUAUGCAUUGCAUUACGAUGUUUAAUUGAUUAAUAUGUCUGCAUUUGAUUGCAAUGUUGGAUUAAUUGUGUUGUGAUAAUGCUAUGCUUUAUUUAUGUGGAAUUGGGAUGAAGUGGGUCACCAUGGGUUUGUGAGACCGUUACUGUUAUAUGGAUCCUGAUUACCGUUACCGUUAUAUACCGUUACUGUUAUAUGGAUCCAUUACCGUUAGCCGGGUAAAUGGCAGAUCGGCGCCCCCGUGUGCACCUACCGUUACCGUUACCGUUAACCAUAGGAUGACUGCUUGUUGUUGCGCACCUGAAAAUCUAGAUUUGAUCGCAGCCCGCAGGGUGGNNNNNNNNNNNNNNNNNNNNNNNNNNNNNNNNNNNNNNNNNNNNNNNNNNNNNNNNNNNNNNNNNNNNNNNNNNNNNNNNNNNNGGCCAGUAUGGGGGAUCGGCUCCCUAGUGCACAUGUGAGUGGAUGAGCCAUGUGGGAGGACGACUCAUCGGGGUUUCGGUGACACCGCUGACUAAUUUCCACGUGAUGUGAUUACAUGAAGAUGUUAACGAUUGUGGGUGCUGAUAAUAUGCAAUUUGUGUGAAUUCAUGUGUUGUGAAAUAGGUAUUCCUUCUUAGAAGGUUCACAUAUCUUGUUUAAUUUUUCAGGAAGUAAGUUUCUCUUCAAUUCGGUUAAGUUAUGUUCCUUUGCGCAGGGCUAGAAGAAAAUUUUUCCAGUUUCAUAAUUAUUUUGCUAUGUAAUUAUAUGUAUAAAAAACUAUGUAUACCAAAUAGUUAGUGACUCCGCAGUUGUAGAAUUUNNNNNNNNNNNNNNNNNNNNNNNNNNNNNNNNNNNNNNNNCUCAAUAUUAUUAAAUAUAUAUAUAUAUAUAUAUAUAUAUAUAUAUAUCAUCAUUCAUGGUUAUGGGAUUACAGUAUAUCUGUUUUGCAACGAAGAGUAAAGCUUAAUUAAUUUUUUAAAUACUUGCCUAAAUCAUUAAGAGCAAUCAUCAAUUAUAAAUUGAUUGCUAAUAAUUUAGCUAAUUUAAUUUAUUAAAUAAAUUUAAAGCGAAAAUUUUAACUAAAAACACUAAUCAAUAUAUAUAUAUAUAAUCUUGAAAAAAAAAAGAAUUUGACUUGACUCUCUCCAUCGAUCCUUCCUAUUUUUCUUUUUCUACAAAUUUUUGAAUUUUCUACUUUAUUUUUUGAAAUUUUUGAUAGGAUGAUUCUUGUUAAUGUUUUUAUAAUAAUAAAAAUUAAUCUAAAAUUAUUGAAUUUUAAAAUUUUUGAAUUUUUUUUAUCUAAAUCUAUGUAGCUAUAUGUAUAUAUCUAUAAAUACCUCCCACUUUCAAUGAUUUUUUCACAAUGGUCUGUCUUCAUAUUGAUUUGUUGUUUCUUUAGAUUAUUUUACUUUCAAUUUUUUGAGUUUUGAUUGUACUAUAUAAAUUUUUAUUUUUUUAUUUUAAUAUAUAUUGUUAUUAUUGUUUUUCAGAUUUUGAAUUACAAAAAGACGAUAUUAGCAAUUUCAAUCGAUAUAUAUCAUGUCUCUUCUUCUUCAAUUAAGUACAAUAAAUUAUAUAAUAUAAAGUAUGUUUAAUAGUAAAUUUUUUCUUGGUCUAUGUAGUUUUUAAGUUUAUGAAUGAAAUGUCAAUAUUUAUUUAUUUAUUUAUUUAUUUAUUAUUAUUAUUAUUAUGUCAUUUCUUUUAUCUGUUUUAAUUAUUAGGUAGGAGAUUAUUAUUAUUUACAUAAAUUAAAAGAAAAAAACAUUAAAUCCAAUAAAUACAUUUAAAAUAACAAAGAGAGCUUAUAAGAUAACAUCUAAUAAAUUAAAAAAUAAUAAAUUUAAUACAUUAAAAAUAAAUUUAGUUACCAUUUAUAUUUAAAAUGAUAUUCUUAUAUCCUUAAAAUUUUGUUUUUAUUAUUUAAAUAUUAAAAAAUUAUUUUUAACAAUCAUAUUUUAAAAUUAAUAGUCAUUGACAAUAAUUAUCUAUAUCUAUAUCUAUAUUUUAAUUUUAAAUUUUGAACAUUUUUGUCUUUUAUUAGAUCACUUAAGAUACUUUUUCUAAGUGUAAAAUUUAAAAGUUUUACUUAUUUAAAAUAAUUAUUUAAUUUAUAUUUGAAUUUUGAAUAUUUUUAAUUUUAUGUUAUGUCUAUGUAUUUAUAACGAUUAUCUGUUUUUAUAUCUAUGUAUCUUCAUCACCAUCAUACUUGAAGAUGAUCAAUAAAAAAAAUUGCAAGUGAAAUAAUUUUAUUCAUCAUCACCAUCAUACUUGAAUAUGAUCAAUUUAAUUUUCUAGCAAUAAUUAUAUGGUACAAAUAUCAUUUAUUAUUUAAUAUUCACUUUAUGAUUUUAAUUUUUUUAAAAAUAAUAAAUAAACUUGGUUUUUCUUUUAUUUGCAGUUGCAAAAAGAUUUGAAUAAAAGAAAUCAUAUAAUCAAUUGCCAAAAUUAUAAUAAUUUGCUUAAGUUGAAAAAUGAACAUAAUUCAUGUUUUUUCUAAAAAAAAAAAAGCCUAAUAAAAAGCACAAAAAUUUAAUUUUAUUAACACACAUAACAGUAAUUGAUAACUCAUCUAAAUCUAUUUUAUAAAAGAAAAUCAAAUAUCCCACGCUGCAGGCCUUUAUCUAGUUAAAAUAAAAUUCUACAAACUGAAAAAGGCAAUUAUGAAAGUUAAAAGUUAGAACUUAGAACAAAAAUUUUCAAACAAUCAUCUGCUUUAUAUAUAUAUAUAAGCCUAAAAAUGAUCACUUUGAGAAAAAAAAAAUCAAGAAGGAAUGUGAAUAAUUUCUGCUACAAAUUAAUAUGGUUAAAAAACAAAUCUAAAUAUUUAAAAUCUAAAAUCUACGUACACAUAAUCAUUAAAUGAUUUUGUAAUGCAAUAAUAAAAGUAAAAAAGGACUAUUAGCAAAAUAAAAAAUAAUUUUUUUUUGUUAAAAAAAAAAAAAUUAAAGUCAGACAACCUGCCUGUGAUUAAUUAGACAAAUAUUAAUUGCCAAUUAUUAAGCAAAUAAACUAAAAAUGUCUCCUUAUAACUAACUCUCAAAACAACGACGAACCAAUUCUCAAAAGAAUCUAAACCCUAACUUUAAUUAACUAAAUAAUAAUUCAUAUUAAAAAAAAUUAACUAAAUAAUAACUAUCCAGUGAAGUCAUGCAUAUAGCUCUUGUAAAGUUCAGCGGCAGCUUUAGCAGCACAAAGACCAGCAGUAAGAUUAAUCUUAUCAUCUUCUAAUCUUCUGCACUCUAUUUCCAAAUCAUUCAUAUGCUUACCCAAUUGCUCGAUAACCGAGCUUUGCCUCCCAACUUCUGCAGAAAGAUUCUUACUCUCUUCUCUUAACUUUCUGCAACUCUUGACUUUCAUUCCAACAUUCUUUAUAGUAAUCUACUGAUGAUUCCACAAUCUGAAUCUUGUCCUCCAAAUCACUUUUCUCACUUAACGUUCUGUUAUAAUUUUUUUCAUAAUCACAAGCAGCACUGUAGUAAUACUGAUGAGCUGAAUUCGCUUCAGAAAGCUUGUCAUUAAGUUCAUUUUUCUCUUCUGCCCAUCUUUUUUGGGCUUCUGCAAAAUCUAACUCCAUUUGUUGAUAAUUUUCUAUUAACUGAUAAACAGAACCAAGCUUUUCAUGUAGUUCUUUUUUCUCCUCAUCAUCAUUUUCAUACUUUCUUGAAUUCUCUUCUUGAACUUGCUCCAACAUUUUUAGACUCUCUUGCAGUUUUUCUUUUUCUGUAGUUUCAUAUCUAAUAUCUGCAAUAAGUUUCUCUUUCUCUUCCACCAACUUAAGGAUUUGCACAUCACAGAAUUUAACUGAGACAUCAAAAUCCUUUUUCAUCUUUUUGAGUGCUUGCUCAAAGAUCCGUUUCUCCAUUGUCAAUUUCUUGAGGUCCAUUUCGAGAAAACCGCAUCCACAUUUCAAUUUAAUUAUUUCUUCGCCUUUUUGGUCCAGUAGUCCAGGUGGUUUCAGUUGUUCUUGUUCUUUUGCUUCUUUCACUUCUUUCUGGUCUGCUACAGUUGCUUUAAGUUCUAUCUUUGAUUCAUGUUUCGAAUUAUUCCUGUUUUGAGCCAUUUCUUGAAUUUUCUCCGAUGUCAACUCAGAUUUCUUUGCUCUUUCUUCCUUAUUCAAGUUCUGUACGUUUCUAAUUUUUCUAUUUUCCACCUCAUUAUUAACAAUAUAAUUUGAUAUGCGUUCCUUGAGAUAAUCCAAAUACACUUUCAUUGAUUCGAGAUGAGCUUUCUCUUUGGAUCUUUCUUUCCUAAUCUUCUCAGCUUCCUCUUUCGAUGCAGCCUCUUUGAUGAUCUCAGCUUUAUCUUUGGAUGGUUCCAUCUCGGUUUCAGUAUUCAAUUUCUUGAUUAGUUCUUGACUCUUAGUAGGAUCCUGCAAAACAUAUUCUGGAAAGUUAAUGGAUAUAUAAAUACUAUCAACAAUAACCAAGGAACUUGAUAUUAAUUCAUUCUAAAUUGAACAGCACUAAACUUGUAUUGUAUUUUGUAUGCCCCAACGAAAUAUAGUAUAGUCAGACAUUAUAUCAGGUUAUUUCAAGAACUUUUUUUAUCAGCAACAUAUAUAUGUAUACUAUUAAUUUAUAUCCAAGAAAAACUUAAUCAUUUUCAGUUUAUAAACCUAAGUUACCUAGUAAAUGCCAGAUAAAAAAAACCUAGAAAACCUCAAUUUACAUCAGAUUGGUUAUGUAAUUACUUAAUCAAAAACACUAAUUGAUAUCAAUGUCAACUCAUGAAAAAAAAAAAAAAAAGUUAACUUUUAACUUUUAGCAUUUUAUGAAAAACUACCUAAAUUAUUAAUAGCUAAACUCUAAUAAAAGCCGUGUUAGUUAAAUAUCUUUUAGCGUAAAAAAAAACUAAAAGCUAACUUUUAGAUGUUACGUUAGUAUUUUAUAAAAAAUUAAUUCCUGUAAAUAGAUAAAAAAACAGCUAAUUUUGCGAAAUAAAUCCAAUUUUAUUGUUGCAGACAAUAUCAAUACAAAGCAGUUACUCUAAUAUAUUGAGAUCAAUAGUCGAGCAAACAAGAAAUUGAUUAAUUAACUCUCUCUCUCUAUAUAUAUAAAUCAAUUACAGGAGAACUUACAUUAGGUUUAGCGGUAGCAAAUUUUUGGAGAAGGCCAUACGAAAGUAGUAUAUGAGAUAUAAUUAUUAUCACCAACGACGUAAAAGCGCCUAAACCCUUAACGUAAACCUCAAUAUCUCCAAAACAACAAUGAAAGAAUAACACAAAAUAGAUCAAAAACCGCGCAAAACAUAUUGUACUAGUACCAUUGGAACUCUGCAAAAGAAAGUUAAUUACUUAAGUAAUUAUCCAUAACUAAAAACGCAUAAUUUAAAUAAAAAAAACAAGCAGCUAUGAUCUUGAAAGGGAUGGGGGAAUACUCGCAAAAGAACCCUAAUUUGGAUACUCACAUAAGUAAUGACGAUGCCAAAGCAGAAAUUAGUGAAAACCAAGAAUGUUAUGGCCAAACGUAAUUGAACUGUAUAUUGACUUAGAGAAAUACAAAUAAAUUUUAAAAUUAUCAGUCGCUCAAUCCAGAAAAUUGCAGUGAAGGCUAUGUCAUCAAGUUUCGUGUCUUCUUCUCCUCUCUUAACAAUAUUGGCCAUUGUUUGUUUGCUUAGCGGAAAAGUAGCAAUACGAAAAAUAUGAUUAGGGUUUUAUGGUUUAUACAUAGGCUAUUAUAUUUUUCCUAUAUAUAGGGUAAUUUUUACAUAAUUUGUUAUGGUUUAGGAUUGGCUGAGAAUCAAAUCGGUACGUGAAUGGAUAAAGAGUUUAUUUUUUUAAAAAAUAGCAAUUAAUCUCAAUUAAUAAUUAAUAAUUAAUAAUUUUCAAACAAAACUGCAAUAGCUAAUAGCAAUGUUCUGUUCUUAUAGGGAAAGUAAUUUAGAUGGGUAUAGGAUGUAGAAUGAAUUUGGUGCUUGGAGGAUUUAUAGAAUCCAUUAAAGACUGAGUCCGUAUAGGUCAAAAUCUUAAUUCUUAAUUCGAAGAAAAAGAAUGGGGUGAUUACAGUGUGAAUUUAGACUUAAAAUUUUUAUGGAAAUCUUUCAUUCCUGCUGCUAAAGAAUAUAAAAAUAUUAGAGAAAUAGAAAAUAUAUAGAAUAAGAAAACAAAGAUAAUAAUUAGUCUGCCUAUGUAGUCUACAAGAAAGAAAAGAGGAGAACUUUGGUUUCCUUGGGUCACUGGCCAUCUGCCGGGAGUUUCGGAUUUAUGGCUUGGGUUAGCAAUGGGACACUCUAAUUGGUUUAAUUUAAAGUUUAUCAAGUGGUUUGGUUUGCGGACCAAUCAUUUCUCUCCACUCUCUUUGAAUUGAAUGUUACACUAUAAGUAAAAUAAUGUCACAAUAUCAGAAGCAAUAUAUUCCUAAGAAUAUAUUCUUUGACGAGAUUCCCACUGAAAGGUUCAAUUGUUACAUUAUAAGUUUAACAAUUUAUAGGUGAGAUUGUCACGCCACAGUUAACAAACAAAAUAUUAUUGUUAUUGUUACACUAUAAUUACAACUAUAGUGUUGCAACCUACAAAUAUAAAAUAUGUACUGUGUCAUUGUUAGUGUAAUAAUAUAUUUUGUUUACACCUCAACAAUUUGAUGCCAUGAAAGAGAUGUUUGUGGGGAAGAAAAAUAUUCUUGUAUUAGGCAUAAGAGGUAUAAGAACUAUAAAUUAUUAAAUGAAAAAAAAAUGUGUAAGAAGUGUAAAAGAGUAAAUUAUUAAAAGAAAGAAAUUUCUUUGUAAGUGCAAGAGAAUAUUUACUAUUCCACUAUUCUAAUCCGUGAAGCUUGGUAAAUUGUAAGUGUAUAUAAAGGAAAGAACAUUGCUUCUCCCAUUUAUCUACAUGAGGAGUGCUUUUCCCUUAGUCUCCCCUUCUUGCUUUGGUAAGGUUUAAUUUUUUUUUUUUUUGUUAAUAUAUUUUGUUACAUAUUUGUUAAUAUAUUAUGUUCAGAUAUGAAUAUGAGUGUUAUAAUAUACUUGUAAACUUAAAGAAUAUAUUCUUUCUGACACUGUGACAUUGUUUUAAUUAUAGUGCAACAUUCAACAAAAAGAGAGUAAAGAGAAUAUUGUUCUAUAAAACUGCUGGACAACAUUAAUAUAAAUUAAAAUUGAUUAUUUUUAUUGCAGUCAUAGUGUAAUAAUGCAUUUGUUAAAUUAUGACUAGAAUAAAAGCCUUUGAAAUGUCAACAAAACAUUGUUAUGAUAAAUAUCAAUAGUUCAUAAUAUAAAUUUAUGGAAAUUUAAACAUCUAAUUUCUACAAUUAAUGAGUUAAAGAUAGCAUAAUAAAAUUAUUUGAGAAAAAAAUUAAAUAAAAUCAAAAUUACCUUGUUUAUGCUCAAUAUUGAAUCACCUCUAUUUAUCUUCAAGACAAGCAACCGUAUCUUCUAUUAUCAACUUGCUGUAUAAAGUGGUUAGAAAUCAAAAGACACAUUAUAGUACUUACCCUUUCAUAAACUAAUGUGGUUAUGGAUUUAUAGCUAUUAAGGAAAAUAAAUUGGGCACGCUUCGCAUUUCAGUGACCUAGCAGCCAAAUUAUGUUAUGCUGUUUAACCUAGCUUUUUAACUACUGAUGGAAGAGCAUUUAGCAUCUCAAAGGGACCUAUAAAAUGCUAUCAUUGAAGUACGAGAAAAUAUCGGUCAAUUAGAGGUUACAAAGCUGACCCAACUGUAGGGUAGAGCAAACCGUUUGUUAAGUUCAAACCGAAAUCACAAAAUAUAAACCGAAGUUUCUUUAUAAUAAAUCAAACUGGAAAGAAUUUUUGUAAUGAAUCGAAUCAAUCGAACUGAAUCAAUCGGUUUGGUCUAUUUUUAUCGUUUUCACCGUUUCAGUUUUGUUCUAAAUCCAAUCACUGAAUAUUUAUGUAACCGAAUUGAACUGAACAAUAAAUUUGAUUCAAACCGAAUAAUCUGACUGACCGAACCUCUCUUGGGCAUCAGACCGAAUAAACCGAAAUGAGUCGGUUUGAUUUUCAAUUCGGUCCUACCGAUAAUUUUGCUCGCCUCUACACAUGAAAAUAUCCUUUUAACCUAAGAAGAUUAUAAUAUAUGUUUGACCCAAGAGAACGUGGGUCGACCUCGGCCGUUCUAUCAUUAUCUAGGCAGCCUACGGUUAGUUAAGUGGGUCAAGGAGCAAAUUGAUAUUUAGAGGACAUCAAUCAAUAUGGCCCAUCUAAAUUUAUAAUUAGACUUGGGCCAAGAUUAUGGAAGGCCUCCAAAGCAAAAGGAAUAUCUAAUAUAUGGUGCCUAUCCUGAAAAUUAUUAAGAAUAUCUUACAAAUUAACUUGAUCAAAUCUUUUUUUUUUCUUUUAAGAAACUUGAUCAAAUCUAAUAUUCUGAAAAUUUUCAAAUACAUUUUUUAUAUUAUUCUAUGCAUCUCUCUAUAACCUACGGGUUGUGACUCAGUUGGCAAUAUAGACUGAGCAGGUGGGAAGAGUUCGGGUUCGAUCCUCACUAAAUGCACUUGCAAUAGAAAUGUGAGAAACCUUAAUUGUGACUAAGUUCCGAGCUGGAAAAAGACAUCCUGAUGAUGGAGUCCGAAUACCGGUAAUUUAUUUUAAGAAAAAAUGCAUCUCCUAUAUGAUAAUCCUUCAUUAAUUUGUUAGACAUAUGAUUCUAUUGCUAGGGAAACUCAUUCUACAAUAACAGUAGCAACAUGUAGAAAUAAGUGUAAGUAACGAAAGUAAUAGCUAAAAUGAAUUAAGAACUUAACACUAAAAUAUUUAAAAACUUUUCAGAAAAAAAAAUUACUGCUCCGUUUAUUUCUGUAAACUAACUUACUGAAAAAUAUUUUUGUGGAAAACAUUUUCCUUGAAAAAUAUUUCUCAAAUAACUUAUUUUCUAUUAUUUGGUUAUAAUAUUGAAAAUUAGUUAAAAAUAUUAAAGUUUUUAUCUCAUAAGAUCAUAAAAGAUAUUAAUAAUAAUAGACAUUUUAUAAUUUAAAAAUUUUAUUGUUAAAUAUGAAAAGCAUGCAAAAAAAAAAUGUAAAUUAUGAAAGUCGUCGGUGGCUGGUGGUAAAUGAUGACUGGUGGUAGUGACUACGAUGAUUAAUAAAUUAAAAAAUAUAUAAAUAUAUAAGGUUUCCCAAUGUCCGAAAAAUGUUUUACUCUCUCAAAUAUGAGAAGUUAUUUCCUUAAAAAAUGACUUAAUUUUCCAUUGAUUAGGAAAACAUUUUCCAUUUACACAUUUUCCUGAAUACUCCAAACAAUGGAAAAUUGUAAAAAAUAUUUUCUGUAAAUUAUUUUACGAAAACAAACGGACCCUAACAUGAAAAAUAAUCUAAAUUUCACAGUCCAACAUGGCCUAUUUCGUUUUCCAAAUGAGCUAACUCAUAGAUGUUUUAAGUUUAUUAACUAUUUAAUAAUCAAAUAAUAAUUUGCUAAGUGAGGCAUAAUUUUCCAAAAAUAACUUAAGAAAGAACAUGAGUUAAUAAGAACUAAGAGAUCGUACAUGUCUUAGAUUAUCUAAUAUAAUUUGGAUUAGACAGAGGCUGUAAAAGGCAGGGACGAGAAAUUAAAAAAAAAUAAAGAAAUAAACAGAAAAAAAUAAAUAAUUUGUUUCAAGUUUGGUAGUUACAUUUUAGUGAUAUUAAAAUACUUUUUAAUUUAUUUUCAUUUUUAACUCUGUCAAGUGGUUGCAUUUUUCUAAAAACAAACACAUAAAUGCGUAAACUAAUUUAAUUUAGUGGUUAAAAUGCAUUUACUUACUUAAUCCUGGUGAUUGUAGAAUUGAGCCAUAGAAUUAAACAUUUUAAGACUCUAAACAAAAGAACAGGAGUGAGAGGAUAUCUUUAGUAGUAAAAAUAAACAAACAUAUACAGAAUAUAAAGAAUUUUAGCGGAAAAAAAAGAUCCAUAGACCCUUUUUAAUAUGUAGAUUGGUACUGUUAAUAAUUUUAUGAUGUUUGAUCAUAUGAAAUGAGAAAACAACAAUCACGUAUUAUUUUGUUACUUAGAUAAUAAACGAAUGGUUUUUGCUUGUGAAACAUCGUAACAUUAUAAUAGAAGAAUGCCUUAGGUUUCAUGCCGUAUGACAUACAUAGAAUAUUCACCGAGAAGUUCGCAAUUAAAAGAGAUAAUUUAUAUGAAUAAUAAUUAUAUAAUAAAUAUAAGUGACAAGAAUUCCUUACAAAAAGAUAAUAAACUGUUAAAAUUAAAUUGCAAAAAUCUUCGACUAUUUUCAUUUACUGAAAUCUAUUCUUAAUAAUUUUAUUGUCAAUAUUAUCAAAUAUAUAUCUUUUAAGGGUAAAUCAUUAAAUAUACUCCAAACUUUACGUAUUGUAAUAAUUACACCUUAAAAUGAACUUAACCUCUCAGGCACCCCAAUUUAGGCAUGACCGGUUCAAAAUUUUUAAAAUGUUGAACCUGAACAAGUCCUUGAACAACCGGUUCCGACUCUGGCCGGGUCCGGUGCGGUUCCGUUGAACCGACUGUUCCGAUCAUGGUUUCCGGCGAUAUAUGUUUUUUUUUUAAAAAAAAAAAUCAGUUUUAACGUUACAUCUUUUUUUUUGAAAAUAUUAAUAUGAGUUUAAAAAAUAUUGGUAAAUUUUAUUUUAAAUAAAUUUUAGAAUACUCAUACUCAUAUAAGAAUAAAAUUAAUUAAUUUUACAAAAUAAUCAAAUAAGUUAUCACUUUAUUUUGUUCAAAUUUUAUUAAUUAAAUAAAUUAUAAGAAAAUUUUGAAAAAUGCUUCAAAAGAAUGUAAUUUUAAACUUAGUAAACAAUUUAAAAGGGUAAAAAAAAAAAAAGAGUUAAAAACAAUAUAAGUUUAGACUAAAUAUUUCUCUCUUUUUUCUACCAUUUUACUUUUUAGAUUUUUAACUUUUAAAGUAAAGUGUAUUUAAAAAAAAAAAAGAACUUAAGUAAAGUAUAUCAUGUAGUAAAAUAUUAUUGAGACUUUUAGAGAUGUAUAAAAUAGGCUAAGUGAUUAUUAUUUUGAAAAUAAAAAUAAAAAAUUUUCGGUUCAAAUCGAACUGAAACCGCCUAUUAACUGACGGUUCAGGUUUAGAUUUUAGCAUUGACAUGAACCUUAACCGGCCUUUGAACUGCCGGUUUCAGUUCAUCUACAGUACAGUUCGAUUUUGGUUCAAAAUGAAUCGGUGGCCAUUCCUACCCCAAUUGCAAACUUUUGUGAAAAUUGUACCCUAAUUUUAAUUUGGUCAAAAUUAAAUAAUAAAAUAAUAUUAUUAUGGGACCUAUAGUAACUACUUGGGUUGAAUUAACCAUGCCAUGGGUUAAGUGAAACAGAUUGUGUCACUUAAGGUUGGCUCCCUCACUCUCCUUAAUCUUUCUUUUCUUAACCACUCUUCUCCUUUACCUCACCUUUCCAACAAAACGACCAGUAACAUAGAAGAUCAAAGCACACAGCAAACUAUAAUUUUAAAUCAAACAGUAACACUAUGAACACAAAAGGGCACGAGUUAACCCUUUAGUGCUAUCAUAUAUGCUUCCCGAGCUAUUUUCUAGUCUCUCCUAAUAGUGACAACUUCGCCCUUGUCAUAUUAAAACUUCAUGGUGAGAUACUUGAUGCAUGUGGCCGCUUCCAAUUCAUAUACGGCUAGUCUUCCCAAUAUGACAUUGUAUCGAAAGUGAAUAUUUGCUACCAUGAACUCCAAUUUGAGUUUCCUUGAUGAGACUUCGGUUCUGAGCUCUAGAGUUAUGUCUAUAGAUCUAGACACUUGUACAGGUUUUCCUGCCAAGCCGACUAAAGGGGUUUGGAAAGUUUUAAGUUUCGCCUGGUCUAGUUUUAAAGCCUUGAACACUUCCAUGUUCAACAAGUUCAUUGCACUACCUCCAUCCACCAAGAUUCUUUUUACUAGAAAGUUUUCCAAAAUUCCCUCAAUUACUGGGGCAUCAUUGUGUGUGGUAUUUACAAGUUCACCGUCAGCCUCAGAGAAUGAUAUGGGCGGCCUAACACUUGGUUUUUGCUAGAGUAGAAUGGAAUAGAUUUUCCUGGCUCUCAUUUUCCUAGCUGAAUUACUGUCACCUCCCGUUGACCCACCAAAUAUGGUGUGGAUUGUGCCCAGGGUAUGACAUUCUUACACCUGCUUGUCCUUUUGUUCACUUUCUCUCCGAGCUCUCCCAACAAAUUACUUUAGUUUGCCUCUUUACACAAGGCAUUCUGUCUCUUUCUUUAAUUACCAGCAGGCUUCAAUCUCAUGGCCUACAUCGCUAUGGAACUCGCAAUACUUGCUCUUAUCUCGAUAGCUCGAGGUAUCCUCCUUUAUCUUUCUAGGAUAAUAGAACUGAAUUUGAUCGCAUUGUUCUCUUACCUGGGCCAAUAUUUCUGAAUGCAGUCUAUUCAAAUGGGUAAACUCCCGAUCUUGUUGUGGUUUGCCAUCUCUUGAGUAUCAUGUUCGAAUAGAGUAACUGGUUUGUGGGAACCAGAUGGACGACCUCCUUCGGGGCGAUCGUCUCCUUACCGGGGAUGGGUGUCUUUUGUGUCUAUACCUCUCUUCUUUGGGCGAUCUAUGCUGUUGUGCCUCAUAGACUUCAUCUAGUUUUGUGUAUUUGUGAGCUCGUGUCAUGAGUUUGGUGAAUGUUAAGGGAGGGUCUAUACUUAAACUCUCAAAUAACUUGUUGUACCUGCAAUUCUUUGCCUUGUCGCUAAUGGCCACCUUAUCAUUCAAGUUCUCCAUUUGUAUCGCCAUUCUUUAAAAUUUGGAUACGUAUUACCUUAGGGUCUCCCCCUCUUCUCUUUUUAAACUACAAAAGUUUGACAAUAUUUUUCUGGAUGGUACACAUGUUAUGAAACGAGCUCGAAAUGCUGUGGCUAACUGGGAGAAGUAAUGAACGGAUCAUGUUUUGAGUGCUUGAUACCACUCUUGAGCUGCUCCUUUCAGGGUAAUUGGGAAGACUUUGCAUAUUAGAUCCUCCAAGUUUAUUUGAAGGUUCGGAAGAUCGCCAGAUGGCUUUGGGGAUCGGUAGAUCCAUCAUAUGCUUGGAAAGUAAGAAGUUUGAACUUCAAUGGGAAGGCUACAACCAAAAUAUCAGCUGACAAGAGCGAGUCUUGUCGGAGACCAUAAUCCCCUGUUUCUUCUGUGUCUCUACACUCUCGAACUAAUUCUUUGACAACAUUCCGGAGAUUAGCUCCGUCCAAGAUUGGCUGAGUGUGACUUAGCUCUUAGUUGUUGAGGUUAGUCACACUAGGGUCUACUUCAGAUUCUGCCUCAUAGUAUCGAUCAAACAUUGAAUGACUUUAGUAUAUAGGCGAGGUUGGAGGGAGGCUAUGUUCUAGGUGGGGAGGGUUCACCAGCUUGGUGGGUGGUACUAGCUCGCUGCUUGGCUUAGGGUUCUUCAAGAGGCGUUUGGUGGUGAACUGUGAAUAAGCAUGAGCUAGAGCAACUGCUACCUGAAGAUCAGUGGUCAUUGGAGAGGUGAAUGUGGGUUGUUGGUUGAUCCCACCAUAGGUGUUGUCUUGGCCUUUCAUGUUGAGGCAUUCACUGUACUCGUUAGCCAUAGGAACCGAGAAAAACUAUAGGGAUUUUUUUUUAGAGUUUGAAUGUAUAUUCCACCGAUUCCACGGUCAGACUUUAAGGUGUAGUAAAUUGUGAAACCUUUCUUAGAGUAAAUUUGGAGUAUAUAUACACUAGGUCCAGGACAAUUGUAUUAGGAUAAGAAUUACGAAUCCUAUAUUAUCCAUUAAUUAGAAUUUAUUUGAAAAUGUAGUAUUAUUAUUUUAAUAUAUUUUAUUAUUGUAUGUUAAUAGAAACAAUGAAAGGAAAAAAAAAAAAAAAAGGAGACAAUGCUGUCAAUAAUCGCUCAACCAUACCUUUUAAAUCUCCACGCGGAUACCAGAAAAAAUGGGCUUAUCAUGCUAGUAAAUAAACAAAUAUCCAUUUUCUUAUUUGAUUUUGUACCCAUAACUCAAUCAUAAUGCUAUUGUUUCGAAAGAGAAUGCAUAGAAAAAGGAGUGCAAGGGAAUCAAAUCUUAAGGAAGCAGACCUGAUAUUCGAGAAGAGGAGAUUUGGAGAGAUGGAGAUUGAGAAGAAGAGGAAUAGUCUUUGUCUUAUCAAAAGGGUAUUUAAGUCUUUCACUCAGCAUUUAACGGUAAAAAUUGCUAAAAUUAAACUGAAGGACCAUUUAAUGAGACAGAACCAAAAGAAAAACAUGAGGAUGAGUUAAUUAAUUUUGUAAAAUCUCAGGAACGAAAUAAUUAUUUUUCCUUAAUUAACUUAUUAAAUACUACAAGUAAGUCAAAUUCUAUAAUUCAAAAAUAAUUCAUUAAACUCUGUAUAUUAUAAUGCAUCGAGAGAAAUUAAUAGUUAUUAAAUCAAGAAUUAAUAGACUAUGAAAGCCAAUAAUUAAAAAAGAAACGAAAUUACAAAGUUAAAUAGGAUUUUAAUUUUUUUAAAAAAAUAAUUAUUCAAAUAUUUUCCGUUUAUAAUUUCAAGGGGCCAUUUGCCUCUUGCCCAAAUGUGGCUCCGUUCAUGCUUAUUUUGUUAAAAUAAAAGUAGUUACACUGCUAUGGCGUUAGCAACAAUAGCUUUGAUAAUAAUCUUAUCCCUUUUUUAUAAUUUUAUAAAAAGAAUCAACGUCCUUCAAUUGAUUGAAAUAAGAAUAUAGUUUUAAAUUAGAAUCCAGAAACAAUGUAACUUUUAUUACCUAUCAAGAUUCCAUUUGUUUCUCAAAAAUAAUUUGUUUGAAAAUUAAUUUUUAAACUUUUAAUGAUUUGGUUACUUAAAUAAUUAAUUAAUGAAAUAUAUAUUCUUAAUUAAAUGAAAAACUCUUUUAAGAAAAAUAACUUAUUAUUUUUAAAAGAUAAAAAUAUUUUUUUAUGUUAACAAAUUUAUUAUAAUCUUAUAAAAACACAUUUAUUAAUUCAUUAAUUAUGAAUAUUCACCAUCACUAGUCACAGGCAAUUACUGGAUAUUAAUAAUUAAACUUUUUAUGCAUUUUUCUCAUAUUUAAUUCUAAAUAUUUAAAAUACCUAAUUUGUGCAAUUAUAAAUAUUUUAGAUUCUUAUAAAUUAAAAUUUUUAAUAUUUUUUAUUAGUUUUUAAUUCUACAACCAAUUAACAGAAAAUGAGUUAGUAAGAUAUUAAAUAUUCUUCAAGAAAUAUAUUUUACUUUGAAACAUAUUUUCAAAAAUAAAUUAUUUUCUAGCAACAUGCGGCUGUAAAAUUUUUAAUUUGAAAAGGAAACAGUAAUGGAAAUUAAAAACCACCCUUAGAGAAACCCAUGAGCUGCAUCAAGCAUGCAAUAAGCAUGGAAUAAAUGUCAAAUCCCACCGUCCAUAACAAAUCCACUAAAAUGACAUCCAAACCCAUCAUCGUACAAAAUGAAAUAUAAUAUAAAAACAUAAUAUUCCAUCCCCUAAUUAACAUCAUCAUAUUAUGUACGUACCAAUGACCAUACGAUACGAUUUAGAAUUUCGCAUCUAAUAUUACACGGUCCAAACCGCCCCAAUUCAUUAAUUUUAUUUAAUAAAUUUAAAAUAGAUGAGUGGAUUAAGACUGCGUUGAUAUUAGGUUUGAUUUUAUAAGAUCAACCAAAUCCCGAUUUAAAUUUAUUAAAAAUUUAAAAGAAAGAAGAAGAAAUCGAUUGGAUUUGAGACUCUCUAUGAACCUGUUUUGAUGACGUAGUUUGUUUACUUUUUGAUUAUAUUUGAUUCUUUGUGUAUAUACGACGUCACAUUAAUGGCACGAUGAAUGCAUGUUUCCUUUUCAUGCAUUUUGUUUGGACGUGUUUGGUUCAUUCAAUUCUUUGUUUUAGUUCAAUAAACCGGUGGUUUUUGGACUCUUGACGCUUUUAAAUCCGUCCUCGUAUUCGGAGCUUGCUGGUUUUGUUCUCAUUUCCAGUUACGACGCAAUUCUAAAAAUGCUCAGUUCCGGCCAGUCGUUGAAUCUUUUUCAGUCUUUCUUUUACUGGAAUCGAUCAGCCUAUUGAAUUGAUAAUCUUGAUAUAAUUUAAGUCAAGUCCAAUACCUUGAUUUCGAUAUUUUCAGAAUCAGAACUCUCAAAUUGAUUUUGAUCCAACUUACUAAAUUGAUUCUCAUACUAACCCGACCUGUGGCUAGUGUUAAUUUUGUUACUAAAAUAUAUAUAUAUAUAUAGCUUAUUGUUUAAAAAGAAAAAAGACUUAAUUUAAUAUAGGAGUUUUUUUUUUUUUCUAAAUUGAAAUCAAAUAAUCCUAAUUUUUUAGUUUCCUUUGUUUGGAUGGAUGAAAUGUGAUUCACGGAUUUGAAUGAUAUUUUUGCAAUGGAAUUAAGUUGUCUAAAUUCCAUCAUUAAUUAAAAAAAUAUGGUCUUAGAGAAAUUUUACCUAUUAAGGGGUUUUUUUUUUUCCUUCUAAAAUUGUAGAACUGAGGUUAUGAUUGGUAAAUUUCAUGAAUAUUUUUUCUCAACAAACAAAAGAAUUUGUUAAAUCUGUAAUAUUUAAAUUGUAUCAUUCAAAUUUUACUAAUCAAAGCAAUUUCAAAGUGCAUUUCUUAUAAUAAUAACUUCAACAAAUACCCGUGAUAACUUGGUCUAAUAGUUAAAGCACACUAGAUCUCACUAUGAUGAUCGCAUGGUCGAAUUGUGAAGUUGGCAUAUUAAAAAGGUCUUUUAAACAUAAUUGCUCUUCGGCGCAUAAGAAAGUAGUCUCUCGUCUAAUAUUAUAACGCCUUCUAUACUUACUAUGAUUACUUGCCUUUUUUUCAAAAAAAAAAAAAAAUUAUAUACACAUAUUGUUUUUAAAUAUAAUAUUAUGGCAAGGGAUUGAAUUACAUGGGGAAAAAAAAGUAGAAGAUUUAUAGGAUAAACAAUAUAAUAUUUACAGUUGCGCAUCCAAAAUUACACGGUCCAAACCGCCCCAUUCAUUAAUUUUAUUUAAUGAAAUUAAAAUAGAUAAGUAUAUUAAGACUCAAGAGAGUUAAAAAAAGAAAAGUUAAAAAAUGAUAAUAUAAAAAAAAGGCAAGUUAAGAGUUUGCCUUAAUAAUAAAAUGAAAAGUAAAAAUAUUACAGCGGUUUAUGAGCUGGCUUUAUUUAUAAUGAUAAGUAUGAUAUAUUAUCUCUGUUUUUAGUAAUGUAAUAUGAUAUGUUAUCUAAACGCAUGGAUAUGUUAUCUAAAUGCAUGCAUGUAAUUAUAUAUGUUAUUUUAUGAUGUGCUUAAUUUUUCUCGUGUUAUAGUCGUUCAUGUAAUUUUUUAUUUAUAUAAUAUUAAAAUAUUUUUAAUAGUGAUUAAUUUAUAUUGCAUUUUAUAUAUAUAAUAAUUUUUUUUGUUACAUGUCUUUCAAUGUAACAUUUAAUUAAAAAGAACCACUCAAAAAAAUAUUUAAUUAAAAAGAAAAUGAUACUUAUAUUAUAUUUUUAAAAUAACACUUUUUAUUUGUAUUCUCUUUGAGCUAUUGAUUCACUACAACGUGGAAAACAUCUGUUAAUUAGGUAAACUGAGUUGAUAUUAGGUUUGAUUUUGUAAGAUCAACCGAACCCCAAUUUAAACUUAUUAUAAGAAAGAAGAAGAAAUAGGAUUGGAGUUGAGAGUCCUUAAUAUGAACCUGUUUUGAUGACGUAGUUUAUUUACUUUUUGGUCGUAGUUGAUUCUUUUUGUGUACGUACAUAUACGCCAACGUCACGUCAAUAGCACGCAGAAUGCAUGUUUCCUUUUCAUGUAGUUUGUUUGGACGUGUUUGGUUCAUUCAAUUCGUUGUUUUAGUUCAAUAAACAGGUGCUUUUGGAUUGCUGAGGUUUUUAAUAAAUCCGGGUCGAACACCUUGAUUUCAGUAUUUUCAGAAUCAGAACUCCCCGAAUUGAUUUUUCUAAAUAUAGCAGUAAUAUAUUUUUCUAAAUUGAAAUCAAAGAAACCUAAUUUUUUAGUCUCUUUCAUCAAAUUGAAAAAACAAGCACUUAUUUUAAUUAAUAAAAUUUGAAAUCCAUGGAUUUGAAUGUUAUUUUUCAAUAGAAUUAAAUGGUUUAAAUUCAAUCAUUAACGACCAACAAAGUAUUGGUUAAGGUGGUAAGCAAUCUCGAUGUCCAUAAAGGUGUCAGAUUGUGACAUCCUUUUGUUCAAUUUCUACAUAUUUUCCAUGAAAUACUUUAUGAAUGAUGAAAAUCUAAUAAUAUAACGGAAGCAAAAUAUGGAGAUAUAUUAAUAUAUUUAAAAAAAAAAAACAGAAACAGACCAGUUGUAUUUCAUAAACCGCAAAGAUGGUGUUAUAAUUCUUCCAUUUGAGUUUUGGCUUCUCGAGGGCAAAGGCAUAUACAAAUUGUGAAAAGCUCUUGAUAGUGAAUGAGAGCUGGACGACACUAACCUAAAAUAUAGUUAUAUUAGCGGUGGUGUGAUAGUUUCACAGCACCUAAAACUAUGUUACUACCAACUAAAACGUCACGCUCUUCUUCCAAAUAUGCACCAACUUCAAAAAAUUUAUGAUAAAAACAAAGUUUAAACAACAUUCCUUUGAGCAUUUAUAAUUUAUACUUUUAUUUGGGUUAAUUAGGUAAUAUAUAUCUAUCCUUCCGAUGUCAUUAAUUAAAAUUAUUUAUACCGUUACUAACUUGGUGAAUUCGAGUGUAAUCUGAUUUAUUUUCUUCUUUUCUGUCAGAAUGUGAGAGAUUUUUUUAAAUCGAGAAUUUAAUGAGUCAAAGAGAGACCUAUUUAUUUUGGUUCAUUAAUUCUUAUAAUGAAUAAAAAAAAUAUACCCUCGAACAUGAUAAUCACACCAACGAUUAUAUGAAAAGAAAAAAUAAAUCUUUUUAAGUGAAUUCAAUGAAUACAUUUUGAUCAACAUGCUAAAAUAUAAAUAUCAAUAUUCUAACUUGUAAUGCCCUAGAUUUUUUUUAUUAUCUAAAAUAAAUAAUGCAAGUGACUAAAAUGGUUAUUCAAAUUGAUAAAAUUCUACUUAUUUUAAUUUGAGUUCAUGAAUAUAAUGCUUUUACUAUAAUGUAGAAUAAAAGAUUUCUGUAUUGAUACAGAACUCAAAUAAUAUGACACUUGUGCAUAAUAUAUAUAUAUAUAUAUAUAUAUAUAUAUAUAUAUAUAUAUAUAUAUUCUAUACCUGACGAGAUUGAAUUAAACGGAAAAAUUAAAAGAUUUAUAGAAUAAAAAAAAAAAAAAUUUACUGUAAGCUUUAAUUACAAAUGACUGAAAAAUAUUAAAAUUUAUAAAUUAAAUAAUAAAGAUAAAUCUUAUUAACAUAAAUUUAAUUUUCAAAAUUAUCUAAUUCUACUCAUUUAGAAAUAUUAACUCAAUUAAAAAUAAGUGAUCAACUUAAAUAACUCCUUGAAUUAUGGUUCAGCAAAUUAUAUUUACAUUAAUAAUCUCAAUUAUUAAUAUCUUUUUUGAUAUUAAUAUCAGAAGUUCAAAUUAUGAGUGUUUCAAGUAAUUGCAUUUAUAUUAUCGUUCUAAUUUAAAUUAUUCUUAUUUAUAAGAAGUUCUUAAUCUUAAUUAGUGCUAUAUUGUUUGAGAAAAGCGGGAUUCGAACCUGAAUCUAUUGUCGGAUCAUAUAUACACUUGCCAUUAGAAUAUGCUUUAGUGUGUAUGAUUAUAUUUCUAUAAUAUACUAUAAUAUAGAAACCAUAAUGUCUUGAAGUAACCAUAAUGUCUCUUGAUUGAAAAUUUUCCACCUGCAACUGGAAGAUGCUAGUAAAGAAUCUAUGCCUUCAUGUGUAAACUUGGCCGUUGAGACCUUUAUGUAAAAAGAAAGACUAGUGACAUUUUGACCGUAAUUUUUAAGGAUUAAACCUAUAAAAAUAUCCUCAAUGUAACAUCCCUUCCCGGUCCACCCAUUAACCCUAAUGAACCGAGCCGAGACGCUACAAUUUGGUUGAACCUAUGUCCUGUCAUGCUGAUAUCAUCCUGUAUGCUAAAUAUUAUGUCAUGUUUAACAUCACUCCCAAUUAAACUCCAAACUUCCAACAUCUCCAAAUAAUCAUCAUAACACAAUAACACUAUUAUAUUUUCAUAACUGUAUAAAUCCUCAAUAGUAUUGAAUAUCCAUCAAAUAAUUGCAUUCAUGACAUAUAUCAAGUCUUAAUGAACUAUUUAAAAUAUUUCAUAUUCAAUCAUUUAAUAAGUAUUAUUCUUCUCUCCAAAUACUUACGCCAAAAUAAUUACAUGCUUCAAUUAUAUUUCCAAUAACAUAAUCUCUACAAAUGUAAUAAUUAUACAUGCUAUAAUUCUUAAUUAUAUAAAUCUCAAUCUCCUACUACCAAAGUAGUCACUUCUGCUUUGAUAUUACUCUUCACAUCUUCAAGUAGCAACCACAAUCUUCAACCUACGCGUAAUAAAAAUCGACGCGCUGAGUAUAAAACUCAGUGGUGCUCAUAAUUCACAUACUUACCAAAGUUGCGAUGGCAACUUACUUAAAAUACAAAUUUCAUAAAAUCAUUGAUAAUCAUAGAAUCAUUAAAUUUCAACAUAAAUUUACAUCUAUAGCAAAGAAAUAUCAAAUAAUCAUAUAAUUAAUAACAUACAUAAUUUAGUUCUAAUUAUACCAGAAAUCCUUUACAUAACCAUUUAAUCACACAUAGCAUUAUAUUUUCAUGAUCUUACCUUAUGUUCCUUAUGCUGUAUGAAUUAAAGAAAUAAACAUGUAAGCCCUAUGCUGUAUGAAUUAAAUAAAUAAAUAUGUAAGCACACAUAACAUUAUUAUGACUUAUGUAAUUUUUAGUCAACAUCGUAUAAGUUAUAAAUAAUAAAAUCUCAUAACUGUAUGGCUCCAUAAGGUUAUAGUGAAACCUAAGUGAUAAGAAGAACUGUAUGAAACUGGAUGAAUACUGUAUGGCUGGGCUGCUAUGGCCCAUAUAUAAUCAUAUCCACUCAACGGCCUGUAGCCGGAGUAACAAACUGUAUGGGGCGCAGAUAUGCUAUUCUAUGUCGCGAUAUAGCCUUAUCUACAUGGUUUCUACUUAACCUCAAUGGAGCAUAUUAUCUGUAUGUCAUUAAUACAAUCAACAUAUUAACUUAUUCAUGAAAUGCAUAAACCAUACUGUUUAUCUGUAUGCUGUCUCAUUAUGUAUGUUGCUAACCUGUUUCAUGCUUUCAUGCUUUAAAAAGGAUGUCCUAGACAAUUAUCAGUAAUAUCUAAUGAGUAAUAAUGCAAACAAUUAAUCACUUGUAAAGGAACUUGCAUGGAAAUAAUUUGACUGUUGCACCCGCGACACAACUCUUACUAAUCUUUAUGUAACUUAAUUUAUACCAAUCAAAUUAACAAAAUUCUUGAUUUUAAUAUAAGUUAACUCAGAAGGUUAAAUUCAGUAAAUAUCUUAGGCUGAAUGAAUCUACAUAUGCAUCCCAACAUCAUGUCUAAUGUAGCCUUGAAAUCUGCUAAGGCUGCCUGUACAUGUUUUACAAAUACUAGCAUAACUCUGUCUUCAUAAGUCCAAUUUAGGUAAUUCAAAAUUCUAUGGUGAGCUAACACAUUAGGGUACAAAUAUGUCUUCUAGCAUAUCUCUUAAUUAUGUUAGUAACGUAGUCAAAUAUUGAGCUAAAGUAACAACUUCCAGUCUGCCCAGCUUUUGGUUUCCAGCCUGCACAGUUUAUACCAUUUUGGACAUAUCUUUUAAUUUAUAAGUCCAAUUUAGAUGAUUUCCAAGCUUAUGGAUAGCUAAAACAUAAAGGAACAAAUAACUCUUAUACCACUUCCUAAUUCCAUCGUUUUCGUUUCUCAAACCUAUGAUUCAAGACAUAGAAAAUAUUCAGCAUUAAAUAAACUUUGACCUUUGCUGAGUGUUUAAGACAUAUAAAUUGAGUUAUAGGGCUUUAAAUUAAAUGAAAUUAGAUUAAUUAGAAAGCUAAGACAAAUUUAUACAAAUUUUAUAAAGGGAUCACAACCCAGAUCAAUGUGUAAGAUGGUGAACAAAGACUAGGAACACAGACCAACAGUCUAGACCUGAUUCAGCAGAACCAAGUCAACUGUUUGUUGUAUUUCUACUUAUCCAAACACUAAAACUAAACCAAUCCAAAACCAGAGAAGUCUAAAGACAUAGGGUAACAACUCUCAUGAAGACCUUAGAACAUAUUCUUGCCAUUAUAGUUGUCAAAAUGGGCACUCAAGUCAGUGAUGCAUGUGGCCCGUCAUAACAGAGUCAGUUUGGGUGUUUUAGCCAUAAGUGGAGCUAUAUAUAUCCAAAUUGAACAUAAGAGGAUGGGUUGGAAAGCUAAGAAGUAGACCUACAACUUUCAUGAAGAACUCAGAUACAACUGGAAAAUAAAAAGGAUCGAUACAUAGUCUUUAAUGCCACCUAAUAACACUUUUUCCCAAUUUCAGCUUACUUAAAUCAUAUACAAGGUAAAGAUUUCUUCCACAUACUAAAUACUCAUCAAAUAUCAUCUUAAGAGCAUAAAUCAACAAAGGAUAACAAGAAAACUUAAGGCCUUAUUCAUCAAUAGGUUCUGCCGCUCUUGGAAGAUGAAGAAGAAAAUGUUUUCCUCAUCAAUUCAACAUAUAGGCAUGCUUAGAAAUCUCUCAAGAACACAUUUAUACCACCAAAAUUGAAUAAUCAAAUCAUUUCAUAUAAAAUUCCCAAUUUUCACAAAAUAGUAUCAACUUCACAAAAUUAAAAAUUUAAACAAGGUAAGAGUGUUUAUGAACACUUACCUCAAAAUCAAGCUUGGAACACCCCAAAAGUCACCAAAUCAAACUUGAGUCUUGCAUUUAGCCACCUUAGAUAGCUCACCUUUUAAUUACCCUUAAAAAUUCUGCACAUCUUUAAGCUCCAAUUCAAUAAUAACCUUGAAUCUUCAAGAGGAAGGUCUUGGUUGGAGUUCAUAUGGUCUAGUUAGAGUGAUUUUUUUGUGAGAAAUUGAAAACAAUAAGGAAGAGAAGGAGAGCAUAUGGUUCGGCCAAGGAAGAGAAGAAAGAAAGAAAUGGUUGCUCAAAUCAUUCACGUUGAAGAUAAAAAGAUGAAGAGAAAAUGGUUGCUCAAAUCAUUGAGCACAAGGGUAUUUUAGUCUUUUCUCAACAUAAUUGGAUGGCUACGAUUAAGUCAAUGGUAAUCUAAUCCAAUGGCUAAAAAUAUUCUCCAAUUUAUUUCCUUCAAAAUAUUAUUUCUCUCCACAAAAUUCUUAAAUUUAAUCCUUAAAAAUAAGUUCUCUUAUUCCCUUACUUAAUAUAACACCAUCUCUAUUUACUUCAUAAAAAUAUUGCAUCUAAGUUCCUUAAUUAAUAUAACACUAUAAUUAACUAUUCACUAAUUAUCUAACUUCUCCAAAAAUAUUCAUUACUUACUUUCUACCCAUAAAAAUAAUGUAUACAUACUCCAAAAAUAUUAAAGACAAUAUUAAACAUACAUAGUAAUUUUUUUCGGACCAAAAUAAUAUCGAUUUCCGGACUGGUGGCACUAUUCACACACUGGUAAACUUACUAUUUCAGACAAAGAAAAAUGGGGCGUUACACUCAAUUUUUCGAUUUUCUGUAUAAUCACUUUAUGUUACUUUUAUAUGCUGCGCGCAAUGACGAAGUCAGGAUUAUAAUACAAAUAAUGUAUAAUAGAUGAUUUAUCAUUUAAUAAAUUAUAUACUACACUUCUCUAUUUAAAAAAUUAUACAAAUAUUAUGAGGAAUGAAAAGUUUAAUCAAUAUAAAUAACAUCUUUUUCCUCUUCAAACAAACUCAAAAUUUAUUGAAUAACAAUUUCAUAAUAAAAGGUUCUUUCGCUCCAUAAAAAAUCAUUCUUUUGAUUUCAUAGUUAAAAACAUAUUUGGAUUGUUUAUGAAAGAAAUGAUAAGAUGAAUCUUAUUUUUAUAACAAUGUAACCAAAUUUAAACAAUUUAAAUGUUAAUAAUAUACAUUAAUUUAUUUAUAUAAUACGAUAAUAACAAAUGCAGAUUGUUCAAAUAAUAACUUGUUAACAAAAAAAAGUGCAUUUAUUAGAGGGCUUAACUCGUGUAGGAAUAAUUCCUCUUAACACCCUCUAAUAAAAUCCCACAUUUUAGGAGGAACUUCCAAAUGCCAUAUCUUUCCUAAUGAUCCCCCUGUAAACGUUCCCCCCCUCUCCCUAGCCAUUUCAACGCUACAUAGUAACUCGAUCUAACCCGAUACUCUCCCCUCCUAUCAAAGUGCCAAAUCAACUUAUCUUCUAGAUUAUUCACACCCAAAGGAAUAUUAAGAAUUGUCCUAAUGUCUCUUGCACUAAAUAACUCCACAAUUUCAUCAAAAUCCCAACCUCUCCUAUCAUUCGUUAUAAGAUCACACACUCUCAUAUCAAGUUCUAAAAAAUGAAUGACAUCCUCCACAUAAAAAGUAUCACUCUUGGGAAGUCAAGGAUCCUGUGUGACCAAAAUAUUCUCACCAUUCCCCACUCUCCACGUAACCCCUAACUUUAGCAUGUCCCUGACAAACAAGAUACUCCUCCAAGUAAAACUGAGAUUAUUCCCUAGUGAUGCAGAUAGAAAUCACCAUCCGGAAAAUAUUUAGCUUUGAGCGUACAAUAAAGAAGAGUAUUGGGUUCGGAUAAUAGUCUUCACCCUUACUUACCAAGCAUAGCAAUAUUAAAGCUAUACAAAUCUCUAAAACCCAUUCCCCCAUCCUUCUUGCUUUGACACAUCCUAUCGCAAGAAUACCAAUGGAUACCUUUAUUAUUCCCCCCUUUAGAACCCCACCAAUAAGAAUUCACAAUUUUUUGAAGAUCAUCACACAACGAUAAGGGAAGUAAGAACAUACUCAUACAAUAAGAUGGACAAGCUUGUGUGACAGACUUAAGUAAAAUCUCCCUACCUACUUUAGACAAGAGCUUAUUAGUCCAACAGUUAAUUCUACUCAAUAACUUGUCCUUUGAAAAAUUACAAAUAUGUUUCUUCCUUUUACUAAUUAGAGAAGGUAACCCCAAAUAUUUCUCCUCUCCUAAAGAAUUAUGAACUUCUAGGAUAUUGGACACAGACACUUUAACCAUACAUGAAACAUUAGGAUUAAACAUGAUCCUUGACUUCCUAAAAUUAACGGCUUGACCCGAAGCACUGUCAUAUUCAUCUAAAAUCUGCUUUACUCACCUACCCUCACUGUCUGAGGCCUUAAAAAAGAAAAACAAGUCAUCUACAAAUAAUAAAUGUGCCACCCUUGGACAUCUAACUCCAGCUCGACACCCAUGGAUCCAUCCUCUCUACUCAGCCUCCUUAAACAACGGGGAUAAACCUUCAGAACAAAUAAUAAAAAGGUAUGGUGAAAUAGGAUCUCCUUGUCUAAGACCCCUCUCUGGAAUAACAGGACCAACUACUUCCCCAUUACACAAGUAAGAGUACCACACAUUAGUCACACAUGCUGUCAUCCAAUCAAUCCAUUUGGUACUAAAACCCAAUCUACCCAUCAUAUCUUGCAGGAAAUUCCAAUUGACCCUAUCAUAGGCUUUAGUUAUAUCUAUUUUAAGAGUUGCCAUACCCGUACCUCCCCACGUUUCAUACUGUGAAGAAUUUCAAAGGCCACACCAAUAUUAUCCUGUAUUACUCUACCCAGCACAAAAGUAUAUUGGCUAUUCGAAAUAGUCAAUCUGAAGCAGAGCAAAUUUAGCAUUUAGUUUAUUGAAGAAGAAAAGGAAAAAUUAUAAAUAUUAAUCACGUGUAGAAUAGUUGUUUAAUCUAUCAAAAAGGAAAAAGAAAAACUAUUAAAAUAAAAAAUAUGUAGAAAAAAAAGAAAAAAAGAAACACUAUAAAAAUGGAUUAAAAAGAAAAUUUUAAAAUUAAUGGUAUAUAAAUUGGUCUUUUAAUUAACCAACAAGAAAAGCUAUUAAAAUAAAAAAUUAUGUAAAUAAAAUUUAAAAAGAAAAAGAAAAACUAUGAAAAAGGGAAAAGGAAAAGUAUAAAAUAACAGGGAGCAAAGAAAAAAAAUUAAUAAAAUUAUAUAUAAAUGGAAAAACAAAAAGUAUAAAAAGGGGAAAAAGCAGAAAUUGGAAAACUAAAAUAAUAAAAACCAGAAAAAAGAUCACAAUAAGUAGUUUCAAACAUUGGCUGACAAUAUAAACUCACAACAUUUUAGCCACUAUACCAAACUACACUACAUUUCCUUUCUACCACUAAAUUAUUUUAUAAAACAAUCCAGGGGCAUGGCCCCCUCCUCCCCUUCUCUCCACUCCCUCUGCUAUUGGUUGGGCAUAACUAUUUUGAAACUUAUAUAUAUUAGCACCACAAAUAUAAACAAAUAUUUAAAAUAAAAGAAAAAUGAUAUAAAACACAAGACAAGCCAAGAAUACUCUCAAGGAGAUCUCAAUUAAUAAAAAUUCAUUUUUAUUAAAUCUCAUAAAAUUAAAAAAUAUAUUGAAACAAACAAAUAAAAUUACAAUCUUGAUAUAGAUAUAGAAGAGUUUGUGAUAAAAUUAGAGGGCUUAGAGAAACUAAAUCCGUUGAUGAUGCAUAGAAGCUUCGAUGAAUAUGAAUUCAUUUAGGAUCUAUGGCAAGGUCAUGAUUCAAAGAUGGAUUGGAGAAAGAGGAAGAGAUGCCAAGGUUAAAGAGAGAGAAAGUGACUGAAUAAAUUGUGGACUUCAAAAACUGGCAUUUAAUGGUUGUGGGUUAAGCUUACCAAAGAUUAAGGCCUCGUUUGGUUCAAAUUCAUCUACUUUCCGAGGAGUUCACUUCCUAGAAAAUAAAGUUUCAAAGAAGUUACUUCUUGAAAAGUACAGUGUGAAUAUGUUUUGUUGAUAUAUUGAAUUCCCAAGAAAUAAAAUUGUGUUAAUGAAAUUUUACAUAUGAAAGGACAAUAAUACUCCUACCAUGAAUUUAAAUAUAAUAAUUGAAAUAAUUCAUUGAAAGCGCAAAAUGGAGAUUGUUAAAUUCUAAAGGUCAAGAAGUGUACUUCCUUAGGUUGAGGAGAGGAAGUAACUUCCUGUACGGACAAGAAGUUGAGCAAUUCAACUUUUCGAGAAGUUCUUUAUUUUUGGAAACCAAACAUAAUCAAAUGCAUCACUUUUCAGGAAGUUUAAGUUCCUGAUGUAACACCCUAUGCGAAUCUCACAUCGGCUAAACACAAGGUGUAAAUGAAACCCAUAAGAAUGGGCAAGUUUUAAACUAGCAAGAAGCCAUAAGGCAUGAGUUGGUUCGGCCAGAGUAAAUAGUAUCUUGCAAUGUUUAAGAUGGAUGUGAGUUGGUUUUAUCUUGGCAACUUGUAAAGAGGUUUUUUUGGCUAUUGUUGGUUGUAGCUCAAGAACAAACCCGUGCGGGCCUGAGUAAGUUCGGUCCAAAGCGGACUGUAUCUUGCUAGCUCAAACUUAUUCUAAAGCCUAGUCUUAACUCCAUAUUGGAGUGUUAAAUGCUAUAAUAUCUAAGUUUUAAAAUAGGAGUGCUUGGGAUACAUAAGUGCUAUAAUACCUAAGUUUUAAAAUGAGAGUGCUCGGGAUACAUAAGUAAAAAUAGAGUGAUUUCGCGAUAAGUUAAAAAAUUGAGAGUAUUUUGAUAGGUUUGUCCAUAUUUGAAGAUAAACUCAAAGUAGUAAUGUUUCUUUGAGAUUUUAUCAAUAUACAUUUCAUCUUUCUUCACAUUUCAAAUUUAAACAUUUUUCUCUUUAUUGUGUGGUCCAUUAAUAUUAUCAUUUUAUGGAGUAGCCAAUUCCCUUAACAAGAGGGCAACUAUUAAGGAUAGGCGAAUGAUAAGUUUCAAGAUUAUCAUUUUCCCCCCUAUCAGCAUAGAGUACUGUGUUUAUAAAGAUAAAACUUGCAUACGUCUGGUGUAUAGAUGGUCUUAUAUAUCAAACCAAUCAAAAAGUAGCAUUUUAAAAAAAUAUUACCGUUAUAUAUUUUUUUCCUGUACAUGAUCGUAAAUGGUUAAAUACUCUUAUUUUGAAUUAAAAUUCUAUAUGUGAUUAAUUUGAUGUACAAGUAAAUCUAUAUACUCGAUGUAGGUAAUUCUUUUCCGUAUUUAUAAAUUACCAUUGCAACAAUAUUUAUAGAUAAGUUUUCAUAUCCAUCAAUAUACUCACCUUUAUGUCCACCGCCUGCAUUACUCGUAUGUCAAUACAUUUUUUAAAAGAGUAGGCUUUUGCGGGGCUUCCCUUGUUAUUGAUUAAAUUUCACAUGAAAAGAAAUUAAAAAUUAAUAAAUAAUCUUUAUGUCUCACAUUAUAAAUCGUUUAAUAUUUUUACACGAAAAUUAAAAAACUAUGAGUAACUUUAUUCUAUCUAAUGUAAAUAAGAGUGAUAUUAAAAAAUUAUCAUUUAUUAUUCUUUAAAAUACUUAAAACGAUUUAUAUUUUGGGAUAUAAUGAUCACUCAAAAUGAUUUAUAUUUUGAAAUGGAGAGAGUAGUUAGUACUAGAAAUCAUUUUACCAAUCAAACCAUCAGCAUCAAACCUUUUAGUGUUUUGUUAAAUCAAAUGUAGUAAGGAAAAAAAAUAAUACGAUAACUUUAUUUGGUUCAAAUACUUGCCUUUUCUUGUUACAUUAUAUUGAAUGAACUUUAAGCAGAUAUAUGAAUAAUACAGGUAUUUGGCUUUCCAAUUCGUUGCUCUUUUCCUGAAAGAAGCCAAUUCUAAUUAAGGGUUGAUGGAAAUCCAAUUUUUUUGCCAUUUUAAAAUGAAAAAAAAAAUAAAACUAAAAAUUUUACAAAAUUUACAUAUAUUUUUAAAAUUUAUAAAUUUAUAAUUUUUGUAAAAAGUACAAUUUUAAAUUGAAAUAACAAAAUGAAAUUUAGUGGUUCUCUUUCUCUCCUGCAUGAUAAAAUGAUAUUGUUUUUUUUUUUUUUUUUUAAAAAAAAAAAAGAAAGUGAAUGCUAAAUUUAAGGCGGAACACAAAUAGAUGAUUCCAAAAGACACAAACACACUACCACUAUCUUUUCCGUGACCAAUAACAGACAGUCACGUAUUCAUGUGCCAAUCAGACGUAUGUCCUAAUCCAUCUUCUUCGCCUAUUUAAAGACAAAGGUCCUCUGUGUUCUGUGUUUAAAGAUGUCCCUUCGCUAAAUCAAAAGGCCGAGAUUUCGGCUCUAUAAAACUCGGAUAUUUCGCGACAUUUCGUUUCCUACGGUGUAAUGGCAAUGGCUGGCUAUGGGCUAUUGAAGAUCGAUGAAGGAGAGCUAAAGAGCAAUCGAAGAACAUCGCGUCUCGCUUCUCUUGAUGUCUUUCGCGGCAUCUCCAUUCUUGUGAGCUUUCUUUAGCUUUUCUUGUUUUCUUUUAAUUUAUGCCACGUUUUUGAUUGGUUGCUGAGAAAAUGCCAGAAAAUGAACCGCCGCAUGAAAAUAAUUCAAUGGAAAUUAAGCCAAAAAAAAAAAAAAAAAAGCUUCAUUUUCAGGUUUUAUUUCUCUUUGGCCUCUGUUUCCAUAUUUUUGUUAAUUUUAUGUUUUUGUUUUUUCUUUUAUUUAAAUAUUUUAAACAAACAUACAAAAAAGAACAGAGUUCAUCAUAUGAAAAAAAAAAAAAAAAUCUCAUUGAGUAUAAAUUUUUUUAAAAUAAUUUAAUAAUAUUUAUAUGAUGAGAUCCACUCCACCCUAUAUGAAAAUAAUCCACAUCAAUCUGAUCUGAAUAUGAAUUACUGGGUAUAAAAAUCAUAAAAUUUGAUUUUUAUUAUUUUUUUAUAAUAUUUUUGAAUAUAUAAUUUUUUACAAUUGUAUAAUAAUUAUAAAAACUAAAACAAUAAAUAUAUCCUAAAUUAAUUUAUUAGCGCUGUCCAACCACUUUUCAAAAUAGACUGAGUGCAGGAAUGUCCAACCGAAGCUUACCUUUCGUCCAAUCAACUUGUUAGUGGAUGAGAAAAGCAAACAUACGUUGCGUGCGUGCAUUUCGUAUAAUGCGCAAUGCAUAGCAUAAUUCGUUUGCUCUUUACGCAAUCUUUCUGACGUCAAAGUAACCUUCAGUUUUUGCAAACUGUCCGAAAAAAGCAUAGAAAUGCUCAUGGAAAAAAAUAUUUAUAUAUCUCCUUUCAAAUUGAAGACUUUUAAAAAAAUUCCAUAAAAUUUUGAUAAAUACUAUGAAUUUUAAUAUUCUCAAUCUGAAACUUUUUAUAAAAAAAAGAGAGAGAAAAAUUUGAAAUGACUUUCUGCUUUUCAAAAAUAUUCUGAUGUAUAUAAAUAUUUUGUUUUAUUAUUCAAACGAUAAUCUAUAUUUAAAUACAGCAAAUGAUUUCAGUAAAUUUAAAAUUUAAUCUAUAGAAGAACAUUUAUAAAAAAGAAAAAAAAGAAAAGUACAGGUUUUCAAAUGGCCCAACUCACACAUUAAUGGACUAAAUUUGAGAAACUGCACUUUGUACUUCAUAAUUUAUUUAUAGGCCCACCAACAGACCCCCAUACUUUAAUGCACACGUACGGUCUUAAUUGUUUCUCGGAAGUUACUUCAAUUAAUGAAUCGAAUAACAAUUCAAUAAAAUAUAAAAUAAUAUUAUUAUUAUGAAUAACAAGUCAAUAAAAAUAAGACACUUGUCAAAAGUGAUAUAUAAAUAAGAUUUAAUUAAUUCAUUAUUUCCAUCUCUAUUUCAUUUUAUUUUCAGUUUGCAUUAUUAUAUAUGAUAAGUGUCUUAUUUUUUAAAAAUUGUCGUUCCAACAUAUAAUGGUGACAUGGCAUCGGUGUUUUAUUAUAUAAUCAUUCAGAUCAUCAUCCUUAAAUUAUUUGAUCAUUUCAUAAAAAUUAUUAUUUUAUUAAUCAGUAAGUAUUAAUAAAAAGGUAAAAAUAUCCCUUAUUUUUUUAAAACAAUAUCCUUUAAAAUACUAUCUAAUCAUUCAUAUUUAAUAAUGUGAUCAUAUUAAUUUAACAAUAAAGGCAUGCGUUUUGGAUUGAGUUGUGGUUGAUUUAGUGAAUUUUUAAUUUAGGAACCAACCAAAGAAAGAGUUUAAUAAUUAAGAGAAAUUUCAAUCAUUAAAUAACAGUUCUCUAAGAAAAGUAUUCAUCUUAGUUGGUUUUUAGGAGUGUCAAAAUGGGUUUGCAGAUAGAUUUCGACAUAAACUCAUCUACCAUGCGACAUGAUUAGAAUCAACAUAAACACGAUCUGUUUAAUAAUUAUGCAAAAUUUUUAAAUAUAAACACAAAAUGCAAAUUAAAUGAAUGACACGAAUAUGACAUUUAUAAUCUGUUUAAUUAAAUAGAUCAUAUAUGAAUCCAAAAAUUCAACCAAACUUAAUUAAAUGAGUCAAAUACGGGUUAGAACAUAACACGUAUGCAUAUACAAUAUACUUAAUAUAUAUAUUAUAUAUAUUUUAAAUGGAUUAUACAUAUCGUGUUAUCACUCGUAUACGAGUGACUCAUAUAUAUAUAUAUUUGAGUCACUCGUAUACGGGUGAUAACACGAUAUGUAUAAUUCACUUAAAAUAUAUAUAAAUCACUUAUAUACAGAUCAAAACAUGACAUGUAUACAUGUAUAAUUCACUUAAUAUAUAUAUUUAUCGUAUUAUAUAUAAAUCACUAGUGUAUGCACGAAUUUAUUUGGGCUCAACUUUAUCGUGAUUAAUUUCUCUGUUAGGCAAAUCUAAUUUAUGCGUGUGAUAGCUGAUUUUAACAUCUCUACUUUUUAGAUUGCUUCAAUCAAUCAAAACCACAUAAUAUUUCCGUUUGAUUUUAUCGGAAGCAGGUUGGCAAGUGGACCCACAUAAUGUGUGGUGGUGGUCCAUAUGCUCUAAACGCUGGAUGGGACUUGGCUAUAACUGGUGUUAAUUUCUUGAUAUCUUUAAAAAAGAUUCCACGAUUGUUCUUAUACCCAGUGGCAAACAACAGUUACAUUACUCCUGCUGAACCCAAAACCUUACUACACUUCGUAUCUUACUAAAACAAAUUCUCUUUUGACCGCUUUAAAACGGACAGCACGCUCAGUACACACAGUCAAAAGGGCUACCCGCCACCCAGCCCUUUCCUUCCUUCGUCUUCUUCUCUGCAAAAGAAAAAACGCCAAACUUAUAAUAAUCAAAGCUACAAUAUUAAUCUUCCCUUAUACUUAUUCUCUUUCUUUCUUGUUUCUCAUUCUUUUCUCUCUCCUUAUAAAAUGGCUGACUUAGAAGUGCCUUUGCUGCUGCUGCAAUCGCCGCUCUCCGAUAACAAGCCCACGCGUGUUGCUUCUCUCGACGUCUUUCGCGGCCUCUGCGUCUUUGUAACUCUCCCUACUUACCUUUCGCUUUCUCGUCUUCGUUCUUCAGAUUCUCGUCCGAAUUACGUUUUACGGUUUCUUCUUCCUCAAUUUUCAACGUUUUUAUUAUUAUUAUAAGCAUUAUUUUAGUGCCUGAGCUGUUUGGUUUAAAUUUUAGGACUGUUUGGUUUAAAUUUUAGGAAAGAAAAGUUAGUUUUAACAAAAUUUCUAGCGUAACUUGUUUGUCUCAGAACCGAAAAAGUUGUUUAUGUUUGUUAUCAAUUUGGUGGCUACAGCUAAUGAUGAUUGUGGAUUAUCUGGGAUCGAUUUUUCCGAUCAUUGCUCAUUCUCCAUGGAAUGGCCUUCGCUUGGCGGAUUUUGUGAUGCCUUUCUUUCUUUUCAUAGCCGGAGUUUCUCUUGCACUUGUUUAUAAGGUAAGUAUACUACUAUAAUUAUUAUUACUUCAAAAGAAAUGCAUGUUUGCUUUAAUUAGGGAUUUUUAUAUUCUAAUUCUGUUUUAUGAAUAGAAAAUUGUUGAUUUUGACAAUUCAACGCAUUUUGUUAAUUAUCACUUCUGAUUCACUUGCUAAUUUUAUUUGGUUAAUAUUGGCUUUUAAUCUGAAAGUUCUGUUUUUAUCAGAAAGUAUCAGACAGAGUAGAUGCUACAUGGAAGGCAGUACUUAAGGCAGCAAAAUUGUUUUUCUUGGGUGUUUUUCUUCAAGGUGACACUGUCAGACAAUUGAAUUAUUGUUGUGGAUUUUAUAGCAGUAUAUAUCUAUAAUACUAUCGGGACAUACAUUUAAUUAGCAUACAUUUGUUAAAUUGUUCAUUUUUUUUCAGGUGGUUAUUUUCAUGGGAUAAAUUCAUUGGCUUAUGGUGUUGACAUCGAAAGAAUACGUUGGCUUGGCAUUCUGCAGGUACUCAAAAAUUUCUUUCUCCAUGUAUUAAUAUUUCCUUCCUCAAUACCCUUAUGCCAUGUUCGGAAAAUUAACUGUUUAUCUAUCCUAAUAGCUAUACUAAAGUAAUAUUGUUUCAUAAUACAUUCACUCAAACUCUAAGGUCAUCGAAUAGUAUUUCAAUAUUUAUUAAAACGCUAAAAGCUACAUAAAAAGUUAUCGUUGAACGGCCCUUACACCACAUGUCUAAAUUUUCACGAGUACAGAUUAAGUGAUUGUCAUUAAAGUAGGAUUAAAAGUUUCCUUCUUAAUUACAUAAACCGUAGUCCAGUGUCAUUGUUCAUUUACGUUAGUCCUAUACAUUGUUAAACUUGUUUUUGUUGUCAUUCAAGCCAGAGAAUAUCUAUUGGCUACAUUGUUGCGGCUUUAUGUGAGAUUUGGCUUUCAUCUCGACCGAUAAGAGAAAUAGGUUUCUUCAAGCCUUAUUAUUGGCAUUGGUAAGGUUUUGAUAUCUUGCAUUGGCCUUUAUAUUAUUAAACUUCAAGCAUAAUUGACAUCGUAAAAGUGUUAUGUUUAACAAUUGUAAUGUGACUUCAAUUCUUGAUUCUAUUUCACGAAAUGGCUUAAGUAACAAUACUCAUUUAUUUUCCCUCUCUCACUUGGGCCUAAUAAGCAGGAUUUUUAAUAAAUAUUUGCCUGAUUAACACACCAUUAACUCAGAUCCUUGAACAUGUAAUACAUAGAUCAACAUUCAAUUGAUAUCUUAAAAUACUAAUCAGAUGGUGAGUAUGAGCUUAAUGGAUUGAAUUGCAAUUUUUUUUUUUUUUUAAUUUUUUGGCUUUCUUUUCUCAAUUUAUUGAUGAAGCAAAAUUUUCAGGGUUUUGGCAUUUUCAUUGUGUGCAAUUUAUACGGGAUUAUUACACGGUCUCUACGUUCCAGAUUGGCAAUUUGAAAUCUCCAAUUCAACUUCUUCUGUUCUUCCAAACAAUGGCAGUUAUGUUUACUUGGUGAGAGUUUACUGAAACCUUUUUCUUUUGCUAUUAUUAUUAUUUUUUUUUUUUUUAUGCCUGUGAUUGUGUGCAUGUAUGUGAGGGUGCAUAUAGAAAUUAAAUUCAUGGAGAACAGAACCACUAGAGAAUGCUUGUCAUUAUCUAAAUUUUGUUUGCUACAAUUUUGACCAUGUUAUGAGCGCCUUGAAGCAUUUAUCUCUGGAACUAGAACUUCUAAUGUAGAUUUCUACUAGAAUUCGUCACCUUUCUAUGAAGAGCAAGUUAAUUUGCCAACACCAUAUUAUUUCAUCGUCCAAAUACUCGACUAAAACAUCAUUAGAGGAGAGAUGUGUUUUUGAAGUACAUUUUACAUACGUAAGUCAAUACAGUCAUUGCGCAUGCAUUUUCUGCUAGUAUUAUCCUUUCAAAAUGAAGUUAAAAUUUUUAUUGCUUGACGUUUGAAGUCAUGAAUUUGAAUACAUUCUUCAUAUUUUUCACAGGUGAGCUGCUCUGUAAGAGGCGAUCUUGGACCUGCUUGUAAUUCAGCUGGAAUGAUCGAUCGCUAUGUUCUUGGUAUUGAUCAUCUCUAUACAAAACCCGUCUAUAGAAAUCUGAAGGUAUUCUAUAUUGAUCUUUUUAUGGUGGUCUUUAUCCAUCCAUAUGCAAUGUAUUGAUCCCUAACAAAAAUCUCAACUUAUAGGAAUGCAAUAUGACAAAUGGCCAAGUUUCAGAGAAUUCACCUUCAUGGUGUCAUGCUCCUUAUGAUCCUGAAGGUCUAAUAAGGUAGUUGAAAUGCAUAUCAAUAAGCUACUUAUUCAAUUAAGUUGAUCAAUAGAAUCAUGAAGAGGCAAGUGACCUGUUUUUUUUCUGUUGAAUGGUAGUUGGCAAACGUUUUUUGAAGUUCAACAAGCCAAGUGGAAGAUUUAGGAGAGUCAAAGUUGAGAUAUUAUCGAAUAAUAUAUAAUAUGAAUCAAACGUACAUAGACAGAUUAUCAAAAUCGAAGUCUAGAAAGUAGGAGGAUGUCAAAAGAUGAUAAUUUUCUACUAAACAUAAUUACACAUCAAUAUGAGUCGCAUACUAUUCAGUCUUAUUUUUGACAAUUAGGUAACGCGCUAAAAUUUAUUGUGCCUACAGUUCCUUGACGGCUGCAGUUACCUGCAUUAUUGGACUUCAAUUCGGCCAUGUCCUUGCUCACGUAAAGGUGAUAUCAUAUGCAUUCUUUACUCUCCCCGUGAAUUUUCUUUUCUUAUCUUUUUCACCUGUAGUUAUUUAUGGUCACUGUCGUAUAGGAGAUUUAUAAUGAUGUGCAAAAGCAUUCUGCUUUGAGCUACAUGCUACUGCUAUUUCACGUACUAUAGAACAAUCACCAUUUUGGUAAUUGCUUGUCAAGCUUAUUGACGUUACUUGUUACACAUGCUUUUCAGGACCACAAAGGGCGGGUGGAAUGUUGGUCUUUCUUCUCAUUUUCACUUCUUCUACUUGGAUCAUCCCUCGCCUUCGUAGGUAUGCUCGUCAACAGCGCAUAACUUUUGCCUUCAAUAAGUACCUAUCGACACAUUUUUGUUAUGAAGAUAGAUAACACUUGUUGCUAUAGAAAACAUUCCAUCCUCAAAAGUAAAGCAAGGUGCUCUACUAAUAAGAACAAAUUGAUCUCCCCCAAUUUGUUCAUUUUAGCAAUCAAUUUUAGGUUCUUAGUAAAUACAUAUUGAAAGCAAAUCUUUGAUCUUCCCCUUUUGUUUUGCAGGCAUCCCCGUGAAUAAAUCUCUCUAUACAAUUAGUUAUAUGCUUAUUACUUCUGCUUUGGCAGGAAUCACAUUCUCAGUUUUGUACUUGGUGGUGAGUCAAUUCUACCUACUAUUGGAAGCAAAGCAUAAUCUUUAGCAGCUUCUUAGAUUUUCCAAGAAAUAUAUACUUGUCAGAUUUGACUUAAAAAUCUAAUUUGGUUGCUCUUGCAAAGAAGCCAACUGAAGCAUAAACCACGAGACCAUGAAAACCCUACUCUAUACUUACUGAAAAUUGAAGCAAAAGAUUAUUUUCAUCUUUCUUAACUCUGAAUCAUCACAACUUAAAAUCCCUCAAACCAAAUAUACUCCUCGUUCCUACUAUUUGACAUUUUUAUCUCUUUUUCUUACUGUUUAUAUACUGCCUGCUGUAGGUAGAUGUAUAUGGUUACAGAUGGGUGUCAUUACCGUUGGAGUGGAUGGGAAGGCAUUCCUUGAGUAUCUUUGUCCUUCUAACAUCUAACUUAAUUAUUAUUGCAAUUCAAGGAUUCUACUGGUCUAAGCCUGAAAACAACAUAGUGAGUGUUUAGAAGAUCUACUGCUUUUUAUUCACUUGCUACUAAUAUGUAAAUCCAAAGACAGCUAACACCACAUUUUUUUUCUUGUUGCCUCACUUUUUUAACAGAUUCACCAGAUUGUCGCAUCCUUCGUGCACAGAUGAUACAUAUGGUCAUUGGGUCGAAUUACAUGGUUAGAGAUUUUGAAUCUUGCUUUUAAGAUAGGGUAAAACACUGAAUUCUCUAGCCAAUCUCUCUUUUCAGACCACAUUUUAUAAUAGUGUUUUGGGAAAUCAAGGACAUAUUAUUAGUACCUAGUGAAUCUUUUUACUUUUCCCCCUCUAUAUACAAAAUGAAAGUGAUAUAUAUAAAAAUGUAUAAGCUUUAGACUAGCAAGAGCCAUUGACUGAGUACGAGGGAAAGUGAUAUUUAUAAAAAUGGGUAAGCCCUUAGACCAGCAAAGAGGUCUUUUGAGGGUGAUGGAUCAUCCAUUACCCUCGAGAACAAAACUGUGCAGACUGGAUCCAAAGCGGACAAUAUCUUGCUAGGCCUAAAAUGCCAUAUAUAAUGAGUAAAAUCACUUAACUUCUAAUAAAAUGAUUAAAUAGUUGAUGUUUUCAUACUAUAGAAACUAAAUAAUUUCUUCCAAAAAUAGAAUAACUUACGGGAUAAUGGUAAUAUUUACCCCUCUACUUACCUCUACUUACGGGAUAAUGGUAAUAUUCAGGUUUACAGAUUCAAGUGGCAGGACAAAUUCAAGCUUGAGUUAAUGUUCAAAUUAACACUCUCCUGAGGCCACUAAGAGGUUCAGCGAACACAAGGUCGCGAAGCAAUCCAAAUUCCGCAAUUGUCCAGUGUUUUUGCAUGAAAUGCGGCUCUCAGCUGUCAAGGCUUGUGCCUUGUUCUUGACAAGAGUUAUAACAUGCUCUAGACAAUAUUGUAGUCUUAUUCAAUUUUAAAUCAAUCAAGGGAAGCAAUGAAACAAUUUUAUGCAAAUUAUAUUACACUUUCCAAUUUAUGACUUGGUCUGAGGCAGAUAUUGAAUCAUGCCAAUAAAAAAAAAAUUUAAAAAAAAAAAAAAAAAAAAAAAAAAAAAAAAAAAAAAUACUGCCUGCUGUAGGUAGAUGUAUAUGGUUACAGAUGGGUGUCAUUACCGUUGGAGUGGAUGGGAAGGCAUUCCUUGAGUAUCUUUGUCCUUCUAACAUCUAACUUAAUUAUUAUUGCAAUUCAAGGAUUCUACUGGUCUAAGCCUGAAAACAACAUAGUGAGUGUUUAGAAGAUCUACUGCUUUUUAUUCACUUGCUACUAAUAUGUAAAUCCAAAGACAGCUAACACCACAUUUUUUUUCUUGUUGCCUCACUUUUUUAACAGAUUCACCAGAUUGUCGCAUCCUUCGUGCACAGAUGAUACAUAUGGUCAUUGGGUCGAAUUACAUGGUUAGAGAUUUUGAAUCUUGCUUUUAAGAUAGGGUAAAACACUGAAUUCUCUAGCCAAUCUCUCUUUUCAGACCACAUUUUAUAAUAGUGUUUUGGGAAAUCAAGGACAUAUUAUUAGUACCUAGUGAAUCUUUUUACUUUUCCCCCUCUAUAUACAAAAUGAAAGUGAUAUAUAUAAAAAUGUAUAAGCUUUAGACUAGCAAGAGCCAUUGACUGAGUACGAGGGAAAGUGAUAUUUAUAAAAAUGGGUAAGCCCUUAGACCAGCAAAGAGGUCUUUUGAGGGUGAUGGAUCAUCCAUUACCCUCGAGAACAAAACUGUGCAGACUGGAUCCAAAGCGGACAAUAUCUUGCUAGGCCUAAAAUGCCAUAUAUAAUGAGUAAAAUCACUUAACUUCUAAUAAAAUGAUUAAAUAGUUGAUGUUUUCAUACUAUAGAAACUAAAUAAUUUCUUCCAAAAAUAGAAUAACUUACGGGAUAAUGGUAAUAUUUACCCCUCUACUUACCUCUACUUACGGGAUAAUGGUAAUAUUCAGGUUUACAGAUUCAAGUGGCAGGACAAAUUCAAGCUUGAGUUAAUGUUCAAAUUAACACUCUCCUGAGGCCACUAAGAGGUUCAGCGAACACAAGGUCGCGAAGCAAUCCAAAUUCCGCAAUUGUCCAGUGUUUUUGCAUGAAAUGCGGCUCUCAGCUGUCAAGGCUUGUGCCUUGUUCUUGACAAGAGUUAUAACAUGCUCUAGACAAUAUUGUAGUCUUAUUCAAUUUUAAAUCAAUCAAGGGAAGCAAUGAAACAAUUUUAUGCAAAUUAUAUUACACUUUCCAAUUUAUGACUUGGUCUGAGGCAGAUAUUGAAUCAUGCCAAUAAAAAAAAAAUUAAAAAAAAAAAAAAAAAAAAAAAAAAAAAAAAAAAAAACACUAGAAAAGCUCUAAUAUUCGAGAAUCUCAUCGUAAAGCAAUAGUAUGAUUUACACAUUCACCCAAUACUCAGGGUUGUUAAAAUUGUGAACAUAUUUAAAUAAAUAUGAAUUUGGAUUGUAAUUAUAUCUAUUUUUAAGUGUAAUCCUUAACAUAUUUUAAAAACAAGGUGAUGUAAUUUACAUAACAUACCAGGAUCAUUAAUGUUUAAUAAUAAUUUGUUUCUCUAAUCCUCAAAUAGGACAUACCUCGGAAGCACAAGCAAUGCAAGGUACCAAAGAUGUCAAAACCAACUUGAAAUCCUGUGUGGUUUCAAAUGUUCGCAAUUCAUCAAUCAACGAGCUGCUACUUCAGUUGAUAGGAACUGCUUCCUAUCAAUAAAGAUUUAUGUUUGUUUAGAACUGAAACUCUCCUUUUCAAAUAACUCUUAACGAUAGAAAAGAUACCAACUCAAAUUUUAAGUUACCUUCGUGCAAGAAUUUCUCUGUUGAUCAAAUAAUGAGAGGCCUUAUCCAACACUGGGCAGAGACUUGACUACAAGUAACAUCAAUAGCAAUCUUGCAGUUUCCAGCUACAAAUUCAACUUGAGAUAUAAAAAGAUGCAGAUGCAUUAUAUUCUCACUUCCCAGGGAGGUCACUCCACAUCUGCCUAGCAAAGCAGCUCAUCUGUGCUAGUUGCUCACGAUUGGCUUGUAAAAUGCACCAUAUGCUACAAUCACAACAAACUUCUCUGUGCGGCUUGGGAUAGAUCAUAGUAAGUUUCUGUGUGAACGCUUCAACCUAAUAUGAAGGACAAAGAAAUCAAAAUGCAAACAUUAGAAAAUAUGCUUAAAAAACAAGUGAACAAUAGAUAUGAAGAAAACUCAAAUCCCAAGUCUCCAACGAAAUGAUUUUGUGAACUCAGACUAAACUUUCUUCAUAUCUAACAACAUAUUAGAUAUGAAGAAAGUUUAGUGAGUUGUAAUUUCCUGGCACUCUAUGUGAUUCUCCAAUCCAUUGUCUCUAGUUAACUGUGUCAUUUCGAACUAAUCCACCACUUUGUAAAGCUUGUUGAUAAAGUUCAUGCAACUUAAUUGAUGUAUUGAUCAGCAUAGCCAUUAUCGUCCCAAGCAUACUAAUUCAGGUAUUUAACCAAUCCUACCAAAGAACUAACAUAAUUGAUGAGAAACCCAAUUACGAAAAUGAUUAUGCAAUAUCAUUCAUGCAAUCUUUACUAUUUCAAUAUUGAUAACCAAUAAAUAUUCCUCCAUUUAAAUUGAAAAUUAAAUUAAAUGAUAAAAUAAGGGCAAAAUCAAGGAGUUCACAUGCAGCACUUGAUGUUGAGAUCGUGUUUUGGGGAGUUUGAGCUAAAGAUUGAUAAGGACAGAGACAAGACCUACAUACCGCCGCAUAAUCAUCAACACUAGGAGGAAUCUACCCAGCUAACUGCUGCUUCUUUCUUGAUAUUAUUCCUUUCCAUUAUUACUCUUAUUUCUGAUGCAUUUUCCCAUUGUCCCAUAUCGGCAUACAUGUUGUAUAACAAGACAUAUGGAACUGAGCUAUCUGGUUCGAGUUUCAUUAAUGCUUCAGCAGCAAUACGGGCAAUCUCUGCAUUGUUAUGGACCCUAGAAGCACCCAAUAAUGCACCCCAAACAGCCUUAUCUGGCUUAAAUGGCAUGCCAUUGAUCAAAUCCAAGGCCUCUUCAAGCUGUCCAUGCCGACCCACAAUGUCAACUAGGGAAGAGAAGUGUUCAAUCCUUGGCUCGAUGCCAUAUUCACUAACCAUGGAUUUAAAUAUCCCUCGACCUUCUUCAACCAGUCCAGCAUAAGCACAGGCAUUCAGAGCAGAAAUAAAUGUUAUAUAAGUAGGCUGCACUUUGGAAAUUCUCAUUAAUUUGAAAAGUUCCAAGGCCUCUGCAGCAUAACCAUGGGAUGCAUAUCCUCCAAUCAUUGCAUUCCAAGAAAUUACUUCUUUAUGCGGUUUCAUUUCAUCAAAAAUGGUCCAUGCCUCAAUUAUUGCCCCACAUCUUGAGUACAUCGUGAUGAGGGCAUUAUUCAAUGGCACAUCUGGGAUAACUGUCUUUCUGACCAGCUGAUGAAUCUGCAUACCCAAGUGCAGAUCCACAAUUCCAGAAGAUGCACUGAGAAGCGAAGAUAAUGUGUGUCGGUCAGGUUUCUCUCCUUCAACUUGCAUCCGAAAGAAGACCUUAAUUGCUCCUUUAUAAUCCUCCUUCUUCUCAUGCCCCGCAAUCAUGGAAUUCCACGACACCAAAUUCUUCUGGGGCAUCCUCUCAAAAAACUCAUGAGCAAGUUCCAAAUUACCUACCAGGGCAUGUCCUGAUAUCAUUGAAUUCCAUGAAAAGGAAUCAGGAUUUGGCAUUUUGCAAAAGAGGUUUGACGCCUCCUCCAUAUCUGAGACAUGAACAUAUCCACUAAUGAUGGUAUUCCAUGAAAAAGUGUCUAGUACAAUCAUUUGGUCAAAGAGUUCCCUAGCAGAAACAAUAUCUCCAGCCUUCACAUAGCACAUUAUCAUGGUAUUCCAUGACACCACAUUUCUCUCAAACCUCCCUUUACUUCCUUUUUGUUUGUCAUUAUUACUUGGCAUCUUAUCAAAAAGUUUCCGAGCUUCAUCCACCCUUCCUCUUUGACCAUAUCCCGCAAUCAAAGUAUUAUAAGCAUGCACCAACUCCUCUUUCCCACUAUUAUUAUUUCCAUAGUCAAGCAAAAUUUUUGCAGCUUCCUCAAGCUUCUCAUUAUGAAUAAGACCCGAUACAAGUGCACUCAACGAUGUUGAAUCCCUCUCUGGCAUUCUCUCAAAAAACUCAAUUGCACGCGCCACAUCACCAUUUUGCAAAAAACCAGAAACUAUAGCAUUCCAAGAAACAGCAUUUGGCUUAGGCAUUGUAUUAAAAAGCUGCAGAGCCUCCUCUAUUCUCCCAUUCCUUGCAUACCCACUAAUCAUUGUGUUCCAAGAAACGCAGUCCCUCUUUGGCAUUUUAUCAAACAAGCACCUUCCCUCCUCUAUAAACCUCUUCCCACGACAUGACACAUACCCCGAAAUCAUCAAAUUCCACGACACAACAUCCCUCUUUGGCAUUUCAUCAAAAAGCUUUCUUGCUUUAGUCAUCUCACCCUGUCUCGCAUACCCACUGAUCAUUGAGUUCCAUGAGAUGGUGUUUCUUUGCUCCAUUUUAUCAAACAAUGCCCUUGCAUCAUUAAUCUGACCUGUCUGGUUGAAACGCGUGAUUUUUUUAUUCAGGGAAAACAAGUCUCUGUCGCAAUCAUUAAAUGAACUCUUUGAUUUUGGAGCCGAUGCAAAACAGCUAGCUUCUAUGCUGAUGUAUGGCUUCCGUCUAGUCUGAAGCUUCCAUUUGCAUGAUGCGCCAAGGGCAAUUCUCAACCUGAGCAUAAUUUACAGAACAAGUUUACUGAACCUCUAAGAUUCAUUCAGCAACUGAUGAAUUAAACAAUCAAACUUUUUAUCAGAAAGUUAUUCAUUUUCUUAAUAUAUUUAGUUUUGCUCAGGUCACAUCACACGCUUGUCACACUCUUAACUUCUGAAACCAACAAAAAGAAUUAGGCGGUUUCAAAAAACGGUCAUCUAAUGGAACCUGCCAUAUUUGUCAAGCUAACUAAGAGUUUUCUUCACCUGUUCAACCUAUAAAAAUUUUUAAAACAAUUAUAAUCUACUAAAAAAAUAUUUUUUUUUUUAUAAAACUAAUAAUUGGCUAUAAAUAAAGGACAAUAUAAUUACCAAACCAGAAAUUACUAAUGCCACAGCUAGAUAUGUUAUUGACUUUUGAUUUGACAAUACUAUCUUAUAUGUAAGACGAUACUAUCCUUAUAUGUAAUAUUCUAAAUUUAUCAUUUUAUACUCUUAAAACUAUUCUUAUUAACUUCAAAUCUAUUCAUCUAUUUUUAUAUCAAUUCCAUACACAAUUUUUUCAUAUAGCCGACCCCCACUAGUUUGGACCUAAGGCUUGGUGGUGGUGGUUGUUUUUCCAUAUACAAUUUUUUCAAGAGAGAAAUAUUAACUUUGACAAACAUAUAAUAGCUAAACCUAAUACUUGUUUCAUCCUAUUAAUUAAUAAUGAAAAUUCGAAAAUCAGGACAACAAAAUUUAAAUGCAGAAAUAAAUAAAUAAAUAAAUAAAAUGAAAUUCUCAAGAAUACAUAUCAAACUAAAAAAUUUAAUUGUCUUCUUUAAUAAAAUAAUAAAAAAUGAACAUUAUUUUUCCCCAUUAAAUUUAUUCUUCUAAAUCCCUGAAAAUGUUAUUUUCCAGUUAACUCUGGUACCUGUUUAUAAAAUUAAAAAACAUUUCACAUGAACUAUAUAUUUUAGCUGCUUUUAAAAAUUUCACAUGACUAUACCAAAAUUUCCCUAAUCUCAGUUCCUUUGCAACCAAAACAUUUUUCCAUUCCUAUGGUUUGUUUAUUAACUGAACUAGCCAGUAUCUUACUGGUAGAUAAUUUGAUUUGGUAUAAUUUACUCAAAAAUCAAGUUGAAAAAAAAAAGCAGAACAUAUAUCCUCUCUUAUAAAAUGCUUACCGUGAGGAAAAUGAUAAAAUUACAGUCACGCAAAGAAGGCAAUACCAAAUAUGGAUUUUCUUUCUUUUCUUGCAUGUUCCCAAACAACUAAAGUGAUCUCUAGCCAUAUUUUCUCAGCCACCAAAAAAUUAGAAAAUAUAAUUACAGAAUUCUUAAUAUGCAAUUCGCAAAGUAAAACAAAUUAAAGAAGAGCUAAAAAAUGAAAAAGAAGGAUUGCUCACAUAGAUGUUGACAGUGAACUAAGUCGCUGCAGGACUGCACCUGCCAACAUAUUGAAUGGUGGUCAAAGACCGCUUUUGCUUCCUCCCAUUUUGAUUACUGCACAAAAAAUACCGGCAUAAAGGCUGUCAAGUAAAAGAGAUUCUCUAGAUUUCUGUCUCAGAUUCUAUAUCAAACAUGAAAAUAGAAAUUUGAGGCAAACGACAAUCAAUUUAUCUAAGAAAAGAUGAGUAAACAAAAAGUUAAAGUGAAAUGUGUCCAAUAAUGAACCUGAAUUCACAAAAUCAAAAAUAAUUGUUGCCUUCUUCCCUUCUAACUCUUCAAAAUUUCAGCUCUUUCAUUCAAAAUCUUCCCAAUCUCUUGCUAAUUCUGGAUAUUCAUGGAGUCUGGAAUCAAACGGUUAACAGAGAGGGUAGUUUCAUUUUUAUUUCAUCAAAAUUUGAUGAAAUGGAACAAAACUUGGGAUUUGGUUUGGGAAAUCACAAGGAAGUGUUGAAUUGAGAAGAAAAUAUUUAGAACUUUGAGAAGAGGACUUGGGUUGGUUUUUUGCUUAGUGACAUAAACAGGUUAGGAGGAAUGUGGCCUUUUUUUCACUCUUUUUUUGAAUGAAUUUCAAUGUUUAAGAGUAAAAGGUCAUAAAAAAAUUUAAUAAUAGUUGGACUUGUGCGGAGCUCGCCCGCAUGCAAGGUCCAACUUUAAAUAAAUAAUUAGUCAUUUAUCAGCAUAUUGUGGAUGGCAACGGGUCAGGUACACAAAAAGUGUCGUAUCCCAAUCCAAACUCACUUAAAUAUAAGGUACCUGAAUCCAUUUAAAAAAUUACCCCUGCAUUACCCAUAUUCGUCCCAAAUUGAAUUAGCAUUACCCAUUUGCAAUCCGGAUUCAUAGAAACAACCGUUUAACACAAAAUGAACAAAAUGCAUACAACACACAAUACACUAAACUGUAUAAACACUUGAUUAUUAUCGAACCCUUAUAAAAUAAAGAAAAUAGCAUGCUGUUAUUUUUACCACUCCAAUUGUCAGAAAUUGUAUGUAAUUACAUAGUUUUUACAAUUCAAAGAAACUUCAAGAAUCUACUAACUUAAUUAUAUAAUGGAGAGCAAGAAUGAAUACAUUUAAACUCCAGGUCUACGAAUAUGUGGCCUGUAAGUAUUUGGUCAAUAUAGUUUCUUGAAUCCCUGGACAAAAGAGACAGCUUAUUUGAUGAAAGUAAAAAUUAUUUAACUGCUGAAAAAGAAGAAUGCAUAAUGCAAUAAUGCAAUGUAUAGAGAAUGUAUAAUACAGUGUUGAUAUAUGGUUGUUAUUAGUUGUGUUUUCCAAUGCUUAUUUGUAGCAGUUCAUAUUAGUGAAGGUCUCACUGAUUACCUAAAUAAACCAAAUGAAAUAUAGGCAAUUUGAAUUAAUUAGUAAUCUUUAUUUCCUUGUGUAUGAGCUAAUGGAAAAUUUCUACAAAGGAGAGAGGGAGAAUAUGAAGAAUCAAUGUUAGAUUGUUGUUCCAGGAUUAGAUUUCAUUCCCAUCUGAACUUUGGCAGUCUUACAAAUCAGUUUCUAAUUUUGUGAAACUUAUGAAAAUUGUUCUGCAUGCCUACUGUAUAAAGUUUAUGCAUCUUUUGUCAGUUCAACUAAAGAAAAUAACACAUGCUGAUUUUACUUUAAAUAUUAAAUAGUAGCAUUUUUACGGAAAAGCCUUACCCUACAACCUACUGAGGAUGAUUUUGAUCAGAAGAUACAUAUUUAUUGAUCAAUCGUUUAGGUUUUUCAAUGAAAUUUUUGAAAUGCAUUUAGAAUUAAAUGCUUAACAGAAUCAUUUAGAUCUUUAGAAGUUAAGGAUUUUAAUCAACUUGCUUCAAUUUCACUCAUUUAUGUAUAAUUUUCUUGGUGUCUUUGCAAUUACAGAUACCAUCCAACACUUAAGUACAAAGAAUUCUGUACACUGGGAUGAUUCUAUUGUCAUUAAACUUGUUUUGACCGGCAUUUUAAGGAACUGAUUUUUCUAAACAAGAUUUACAAUCAGCAACAAAGAUAAAAAGAAACAAAAGAAAAGAAAUAAAAACUGCAGAAACAGGACAAGACAAAACCAGCAAAAAGAACAAAAGGAAACCAAAAACCAAAAAGAACUAAAGCGGCAAAACCAAACCAAAGAAUAAAAUAAGGCCCAAAGCAGCAGUAACAGUUUAAAAAAAAAAAAAAAAAAAAAAGAAAAAAGAAAAAAAGAGCAUAAGAAACCAAUUAACUUAGUCUAUCAUAUCAACGGCUAUUUACAUUCACAAAAUCAAACCACAUACUCAAUUUACAGUAAAGUGAAGAAAACAAAAAACGAAAUUAUUGACAGAGCUUUAACUUUAACAGUAACAAAAAUACCUUGCGAUUUGCGAGCCACAGAGCUAGUCUUGAACGAGACACAGAGCUUGUCGGCGGAGAUCGCCGCUCUUGAGGCGCGCUCGUCACUCGUCGGAUAAAAGGCAACAGGCAAAUCGAAGAUGAGAGACUAAGGCAACAAGAGAAAAAAUCAGAUCGAGGCAAAACUACUGCCUCGCGAAGAACGAAUUGAACUUUGAUUUAAAAAGUUAAUUCAAAACGACGUGGUUUGGUUAAGGCAUUUUCUGUGUCAAAACUUCGUCGUUCUGGUAGUGAAGUGUUAGUUAUUUUCUUCCUUUCUUUUUCUGGCCUAAUACAGAGAGAUAAUUAAAAUUUUAUGUAAUUCAGUUAUAAAUUUAAUUUUUAUAUCUGAUAUGCAAAAACUAAAAAUUUAAAUUUUGUGAAUUUAAUUCUAUAAUAUAAUUAAAUUAAAUUUCAUAAAAAAGUGAAAUUUUAGAAUGAAUUUCAUAAAUUUAAACAAUAUAUUUUCGCAGAUAAUAGUAGAUAAGUUCUUGAUGGGCUUAAAUCUAUGUUUCUGUAUUUUACACAACCAGCAAUUGAACAGAAAAAAAAAACAUUCGACCAUAAAAUGACAAGCAUCUAUUCCAAUCAAAAUUAUUAGUGAUCCAAGUUAUCAAAUGGGCCUCAAAUAUACACAAAGCCCAAACACAACAGAUACACACUCAUCAUCCUUAUAUUUAUUCAUCAAGUGGGCCCAAGCCAGCAGGAGGCGGUUACCAAAUGUACAAAGUUAAAUAUAUAGAGUAGAUACAACAGCUGCUAGCAUCUGCUUCUUGAAUGUUUUCACUGUAUUGAACUAUUCUACAAUACAAUUUUUGUCUCCAUUAAUACACUGUUUCAGUUUUCUCUUUCUCUGGUGAAGAAUGCUUUGAUAAUCUCAUCAGUUAGCAAACCUCAAUAAUCUUUUUUGUUGUUAAAAUUUUGAUUAACAGCCUAGCCUGAUAUGGUGGUGACAAUUCUAAAUGAAAACAUAACCAAUAAUUAAAAAAAAAAAAAAAAGAAAUAAAAAUACCUAUGCUUUUAUUGUGUUUCAGCCAUUCAUUUUGUUAAGAUUUGAUGGGAGGUUUAAAUUGAUAUAAUCUUAAAUUCAUAUAUUGAAUUGAAAAAAUUACGAAAUCAAAUCGAAGAAAAAGUAAACUUUCUUUUUAUUUGAUGCAAAUUGAAUUGCUUAGCGUGACUAAUAAACUACAGGCCCAUUUUGGCCCAUUCUCCAAAUUUUGGGCCCUCAUACUGGGCCUAAACGCACUCGUACUUUUACCCAAUUCCUCUUUGGCAAAAACCCAUAACUAUAAAUUUCCAUCUAUCUCUGGUAGGAAAAAGAUAAAAUUCCAACUAGUCCAUGAGGUUCAGCCAACUGUACAGUUUCAUCCCAAUAUUUAAAAAUAAAAGGAAUUAAGGAGUCCCAAAAUUUAAUUCCAUUAAUGAAAUAAUAUUUUUAUUUCCAUAGACCUGGUUUAGGUAGGUCUAAACCUUAUUAUAAUUAAUAUUAAUUAACCAAUAGUCAAUAAAUAUUUUUUUGAAAAAUAUAAUUCAUUAACUAUAAUAUCAAACAUUACGAAUAAUCAUAUAGAUCAGACAAUGAAUUUUACUAUCAUAAGCUAAUAGAGUUCGUUGAUCUUUUAACAAGCUAAAAUAAUUAUAUAUAUUCUUUUGAAUGAUAAUACUAAAUAUAAGAAAAUAUAAUAUUAUAUCUUUCCACUUGAAGAUGAUCUUGAUAAAAGAUAUAAAUAUUCUUAUUACCAACUAGUUUUUUAAUUGAUUUGGAUAGUAAAAUAAUAAUUACUUUGGAUCUUUUAUAUCUGAAUUGUUUUUAGCUAAAUUGUUUUUUCAAGGACUUGUAAUAUAUAACAUACACAUAUGAAUUCUCGCCAACAUACAUCAAUAGUAUCAAUAGAGGAACAAGUCGCACUAUUAGACUUCGUUGAUCAAAGAUUCACAUUUACAAAUCAAUAUCAAAAGUUUCCAACCAAAUAAAAUCAAAUAUUAUACUUUUAUUUAUAAUAAACUCUCAUACAGAAGGAACAAAAAGCUCUAAAUACGGAAACAAAAUAACAAUAAUAAAAAUCAAAACAAAUAUAUUAUAUGAUAAAUAGAUAUGAAUUUAUUAAAAUGGCUAAGAGAAUUUAAAAGAGAAAAAGAGAAGAAGUUGAAUCAAAGGAAAAAAAUAGAAUGUAGGAGAUUAUCACUAAUCAACAUCAAGCGGCCACAAACUAAAUUUUUAAACAUUUUAUAAAUUUCAAUCAAUGACUUCGUUAUUUUAGGUGUCUCGUCAUGCCGAAGAGAUAAUAAAAAAUCAAAAUUCGAAAGACUCAAGAAAGAUCAUCUUUUCACCAUUCAUAUUUAAAUAUAAUAUAUAUAACGGCAGAGCUUCUUAUGGUCGAAAGGUCGCUGGGCAAUUCUAAGAAAUUUUUUUUAAAAGAAAAAUUCUUAUGAAAUAUUAUAUUUUGGUCUUUAAAAAUAUAAAAAAAUUAUAUUUUGAUACCCUAAAAGUUUUUAAAACUUCAUUUAGCUUGUUUAAAGUAAUUGUCUUAGUUCUGUGCUGAAUAUAUAUAUAUAUAUAUAUAUAUAUAUAUAUAUAUUAAAUAUUCUAUGUAUUAUCCCUAUCACAUUUGCAUUGAUAACCAGGACAAGAAGCUUGUAGCCAAAUGUUAGAGUACUGACAACUAAUUCCCACUGUGAAAUGUUUUAUUAGCCUCUGAUCAUCAAUGAUUAAGUGGCCCACUUGUUUUAAUUUGUCCAGAACUUAUGGAAUAAUUAAUCAAGUAUUAAUAAUUAUUUUUGGAAGCGAACAUUCUAGAUAUACCUUUUUUCUCUUGUUCAGCUACUGCAACAUUUUUGUUGGAGAAUCAAGAACUUAUGGCUUAAAAUAUUCGCAUAUACUAUAUUAAGUACUCCCAUCUUCAAAAUAGUUCAUUUUCUAUUUUUACACAGAUUAAAAAAAUAAUAAUUAUUAUGAGUUUUGACAAUUCUAUUCCUAUAACUUUUCUAUCAUACCAUUUUAAAUAACAUAUGAGCAAUUAUUAUAUUUAAAUAAUAAGUAAAAAUUAAUGAGGGUUAUUGAAAAUAAGAAAAAAUUUAAUAAGGGUAUAAUAGACAAUUUCAUGAUUAACUAUAAUACAAAAAAGAAAAAUAAACCAUAUUUUAGGACAAAUUAAAAAGAAAAGAUGAAAUAUUUUUUUGAGGCAGAUCUAUUAUUCUUCUCACAAUAAUGAUUUUAUAAGUACAGUUUUUUUUUUUCUUUAUACUCAAAUGAUAUGAGAAGCUAAUUUUAUAAAAAACGAAGAUUAAUUUGUCUUUGAAUUUGUUUAAUAGGAUAAAAAAUGUCAAGAUUUGAUCUUUUUAGAUCAAUUUAACAUCUAAACUUAUUUAAAAUAAUUAAAAAGAUCAGAUUUAAUAUUUUGGAUUAAUUUAGUCCCUGACUAUUCGCUGUAUUUAUAACGUGAGAAUUCUUAUAUAGACAUUUAUUAAAAUUAUAGUUGGAAUCACGUGGUAUAAUUUAUUGAAAAAUUUAAUUAAAUAUCAAAUUGAGGAAAUAAUAUAUGAAAUAUAUUAUAUCCCUCUUUAUCUUGAUCUAUCAUUUUAAAUUCAUAAAUAUGUACUAAUUUAAAUAUUUUAAAAUUGAACUUUACUACUAGAUUAUUGCAUAUGCAGUUCAUGCAUUUCUCAUGUUAAACGAAUUCAAAGUUACACUACAUAUUUUAUAAAUUUACUGUGUUAAAGAAAUAAUAUUUUCGUGAUUUUAAAAUUCUAUUCAGAAGUAUUGGAAAAGUUUGAUCUAGAUAUUCCUAUUAAAUUGAAUCAAUUUAUUAUUUUGUAAAAAUCAAAAUAAAUUUAGUGGCUGAAUUGAUUUAAAAAAAAUCAAAUCUGACUUUUAAAUCCCAUAAAUAAGUUCGUGAGCUAAAUUAGUCUUUAUUCCAUUUUAUAACCACAAAGUCGUGUUUAAAAUUUUAAACAAUAUGGUUCUUAUGUUGCCUGUAACGGUUUCGUAUGCUCUAGUAGCUUUCUCUCUUUUGUCCAAGGUUUCUUGUCCUGCCAACAUGGAGAGGGACUUUAAUCAUUUGUCAAUCGCUGAUGAUGAGGAAGAAGGCUUGCCUGUUAACGCAUCUUCAGAUGCCACCAAGUCUACCUACGAAUUUUGUCUUGUCGACAUGUUCUUGACUUGCGGGACUGUGAAUUUUUAGUCCAUGCGAAACACUUUCGCAGAUUUGUGGCAUUCGCUCGGAGGGAUUAUAAUUACUGAUUUGGGAGCCAAACGUUUUCUGUUUCGGUUCUACAACAAAGUGGAUUUGGAUAGGGUUUUGAAUGGUGCCCCAUGGACUUUUAAUCGACACUUGCUGGUAUGGGGUCUGAUAAAAAAUGAUGAGGACCCGCUGCUGAUUCCUUUGCUAUACUCGGAUUUCUGGGUUCAGGUACAUAACUUGCCGGUCGGGUUAAUGUCUGCGGCAGUGGCCAAAUCAAUAGGGAAUUUCAUUGGUACUUUCAUUGAAUAUGACAUUAAGACUGUUCAUUUUGAUCCCAAUCAAUUUAUGAGACUGCAGGUUAAGUUGGAUAUUCGUACCUUUACGUAGAGGAAAGAAGUUGAUUGAUUCUAAUGGUAAUGUUCAUUAUGUCCAAUUCCAGAAUGAAAAACUUCUUGUGUUUUGCUAUACUUGCGGUCGCUUGGGACACACCGAUUCGUUCUGUAAAUUACAAUUGCACAAGUCUAAAAAAGAACUCAAGCCAGCUUGGGAUGAUCGAAUAAGGGUGCCGAUUCGCCGGAAAAUUCAGCAAACAACCAUGGCUGCAUGAUGAUAGAAAGUUUGAUGAUACUCCAAUCCAGGCAGAUAUUUCGGGAUGUGUGGGCGGGAAAUAUGGAGUUUUGAAAUCCCAACAAUUUUGAGCUUCCUUUUAUGGCACGAUAGUUAAUUUUAAUGUUAGUACUAAUCCCAUAGGCUUUAUGGAGACUGAUACAAAUUCUUUGAAUGGGUCCAAUACUGAUGGGCUUGACGAGGAUGUGGUCUUAGAAGAUGUGGGUGAAAUGAAGAAGAGGCCCCGAUGAUCCUUUUUGGUGAGGGUAUUAAAGUGGCUAGUGAUCCUUGAGGAGGAUCCUUUUUGCUGUAGAAUCAACGUGGUAGCUCUACUGUGGAUAUUGCCGUGAAGUACCUAUCGAAUUGGAGAGAAGUGUGUCUGCCACAUGAAGCUGCUGUGACGUCCAUUUCAGUGCUUCAUUGACAUGCACAUAAAGCACCAUCCAUUCACGCUCACAAUUUUGUUUGGAUUUGCUUCAUUGAUGGAUCAGUGUUCACAACCAUGGAUUUCAUUGGCUAUGCUUAUGUUAUUGAGGACAGUGAGGGACGGUUUCAACGUGCAGUGUCAGGGUUUCAGGAAGGCAAUGGCUCGGCGGUGGUGAUGGAGGCUAUAGCUCUUCGUUCCUGCCUUUCAUAUGCUCGUGAUUUUCUAUCUUUAAAUGGGUGUAUUUUUUCAAAUUGCCAAAAUCUUAUGAAUGCUCUCAAAUCCCAUUGUUUUAGAUAAUUUUGAAUUUGGUUUGAUUGUUCUUGAUUGUAAGCGAAUUUUAGAGUCUAGACAUGAUAUUACUGUCAGGUGGAUUCAGAGACAAGCUAAUAUGGAUGCUCACACUCUUGCUAGAGCAUCUAUACAUCAUGCUCGUUUCCAAAUUUGGGAUGAUGUUCGUCUUGUUAGUUAGAUUUUUUCCAUUGAGAUAAUGCAAUAUUAUUUCAUUUAAAACAAAUUUAAAACAAUAUAUAAAUUUUAUCAAACAAAUUUAAAUUAAUAACUCUAAAAAAUUUUAAUUUUUAGAUAUUAAAUGGUGUUAUUAGAUGUAAACUAAAUUUAUAUUGUUAUUUCAAUUUAAAUGUCUAAACAAAAUUCUCAAAUUCUUUUUUUGUUAAUAUUUUUUUGGAGAAAUAUAAUUCAUUAAUAAUAAAAGUAUUACAAAUACUCAAUUAGAUCAAAUAUAAAACUUAUUAUCAUAAUUAAUAAAAAGUUCGAUGAUCCUUCAACAAUAAAAGAAUUAUCUAUAUUUUUUUGAAUAGUAAAACUAAAAUUAAAAGAAACAGUUGGAGUUUUCCGCUUGAAAAAAACUUUGAUCGAUAUAAAUCUUCAUAGUAACAACUGAUCCUUUAAUUGAUUUGGACGAUAAAAUAACUUUUUCGAACUUUAUAUGCUUGGAUUGCUUUUUCAAAAAUUUGUUGCAUAUAACAUAUGCGGAUGAGUUUAAACCACUAUGGGUUAAUAGCAUGAAUGAAGGAACAGACUGUACUAUCAGGUUCCAUUGGUUGAAGAUACACAUCAGUAAAACAAGAUCGAAAUUCUCCAAUCAAAUAAAAUCAAAUGUCAUACCUUUUAAUAAUAAAUCUUCACAAGGAACUAAACCCUCUCAAAAGAAUGGGCAAAAAAACUCCAAAUAUGGAGACAAAACAAAUCAAUAACAAAAACAACAAUAACAAAAAUAUAUCUAUUAGAAGAAAAUGGAUUUGAGUUUAUUAAAAACAAAUAAAAGAUUAGGAGCCAGAAGAAAAAAAAAAAAAGUAUGGGGCUACUACUGAUUAACAAUGGCAACCUCAAACAAAAACUAUGAUUAAAUAAAUCAGAGAGAAAAGAGGAGGAGAGAAACCCUAAAACUAUCGAUUUUUUUUUUGUUAAUAUUUAAAAUGACGGUUUUUUUUUUUUUUUUUUUUUUUUUUGCGAAUGUUAAACAAAUCCCUAAAUAGUAUAGGUAAUAAAAUAAAAAAAAAUAUGUAUCACUUUAAUAAUAAUUUCAUGUUAAAAAAUGUUGGAAAAAUAGAGCUCUUGAAUAGGAAAAUCCGGUAUCGAAUUUUUGCUCUGCUAGGGUUUAUCACUUUAACAUUUAAAAAAAAAAAAAAACUAUUUUCAAGACAGUUCAUUUUCUAUUAUUUCUUUUUAAUAUUGAAUAUUAAUUAAAUAACUUACUUUUAAAAAUAUUUUUCCUUGACUUUUUUAAACACUUUAAAUAUAGAAAAAAUUCAAAAAUAUUUUUUAAAUAAAUUAUUUUCAAGAAAAAAUCUUGGAUAAUGGAAAUUUGGAAAAUUAGAUAAAUAAUAAUAAAACCUUAUGCACAGCAAACAUUUGUUAUAUGGUGUCCCAAGAAUAGUAAAACUUGUGGCUGAAUUUUGUAUUUCUUUUUUAGAUCACUCUCUAUCACGCUCUUAACAAUUCCCAUUUGCUGAAGUGGUCCCCAUAAAAGUAUUCUUGAUUGAGAUUUGAAUACGAAUUUCAAUUAAGUAAGCUUCAAGUUACAAACAUCAUCUUCACAAAAUUUCCUUCAUUGGUGAAGCAUUUAUCAUUUGGUAAGUUUUCUCAGAUUUAACACUAUGUUUGGAAUUGGGAGAUUUUAUGAUAGGAAGAAAAUUUUGAAUGGAAAAUAAGAAAAGAAAGCUAUUUUCCUCCUGCUUAAAUGUAAAUAAAAUUUGAAAGGAAAGAAAAUAUUACCAAAAUCCUUUCUGUCCCAUAUUUUAUUAAUCUCUCCAAAUUGGCGAGAAAAUAGGAGAUAAAUGUAUAAAAGGAUAGAAGUGUAAAUUUACAACAAUACAAUUUUCUUUCCUCCAUAUUUUAGACUUUUCUAAAUAAUAUAUAUAUAUAUAUAUUUUUUAUUUUUUUUUUUCCUUUCAAUCUAAACAUAAAAUGGAAAAUAAAGAAAAAAAGAGCUCUUGUUUUACUCGGCACAUGUACAAAAUAUAAGACAUCAAUGUGUUGAACAUGCAAAUCCCAUGCAUGUAUCUGCCAUGCAGGGAUUCAUAAUUAGCUCAACUGAAAAAUUGUUAAGAUCUUUCUUCAUUGUCUUUUUGUCAUAUAAAAAAACACGAGAAAAAUAAAAUAAAACAAGAAAAGGAAGCGCAUGCACAUGCCUGUAAAUGUAUAAUAUACAUCCAUCCAAAUGGGCAAAGAUUAGAUGCCUUCUCACCAUUUUUCCGCGCAUCCAAAACCGUAAGGGGCCACUCACACUUGAUGUGCAGGAUACUUAAAUCAGUUACGCAGCCAGAAAAUUAAAAUUAGAGAUAAAAAAAUUUUCAAGAGUUAACAAGAGUGAGAUUAAAAAUUUUAUUAUUUUAAAAGGAAAAAUAAAAAAUUUUAUUAUUUUUUAUUAUUAGACUAAUUUUAAAAGGUAAAAUAAUAUAUUUUCAUAUAUUAUUAGACUAAUUUUAUUUUAAAAUUUAAUAUUAUUUCUUCUAAGUAUUUUUUUAUGAAUAGAAAUUUUAAUAGAGAAUUAGAGAUCAUCCACUGGAUUUAAAAGUUAAAAUAUAUUUAUAAAUUAUUUCAUCUAUUACACUUAAAUUAUCAACUUGUAGCUUCUUCAUACAAAAUAAGGAGAUAAUUAAUUUAUCUUAAAUCUAUAAAAUUUUCAUUUGAAAUUAUUUUAAUAUUUAUUUUAUAAAAUAUUAUUAAGAGCGAAUGAAUAGUGAGAUCCAAUAAAGAAGAGUAAAAAAUUAAAAAUGUAAUAUACUCUUUUCUAAAUUAUAUAAAAAAAUGACACUUAAAAUAGAACAAAAAAAAAUCUUAAAAGUUAAACAGAAUAUCGGAAGUAUAAAUAAUAGAUUUUAUUUUUUAUUUUUUAAAAAUCGAAUUAAUCAGAGCAAUACUAACAAAAUAAUAUUGUAAAGUUACUUAGGACAUCCCUUCCUCUUAUCUCUCCGUGUGGUCGCUUUCAUUGGCUUCAUAAUCAUACACAUAUUCAUGGCCCACUUACGAAGCCAUCUCACAACCACAAAAUAUAAUUUUCAAAAGAAAAAUGACCGUUCGGACAGCUUGUUAAGUUUUUCCACACUUCUUCCUCACUUUCCCACUCUCUAUAACGGCUACAAUAGAAGGCUCUGGAACAAUCUACCUGUUUUAAGACGGCGGGACACGUGUAACCAAUCACAUGGGCUGCUUUUGCUCGAAAAUGGAGAAGAAUAAGCUGUAGUGUUACUCUUAGAUGUGAAUUAUUUGCUUCAAAUGAUGCUUUAGUUGUUUCUAGUGAAAAUAGAGCAAUAGUAAUUUUUUUUUUUUACCAUUUAAUAUGAUGUACAAUGAAUUUUUUACACUAUGUACUAUUAUGCAGCAGUUACAACAUUUUAAAGUCCAUCAAAUAGUAUAAUCCAUUAGAAAAUCCAAUAAAUUUCUCAUUGCUCUUUUGAAUAAUAUUUACUAUAUUUGUGCAUAUUAAUUAUUAAAAAAAAUUUAUUUACACCCGGUGUUUGGAUCUAUUUAUACAUCAAAUCAAUCACAAAUAAUAUUUUGAUUUAAUCAAAUGUAUUUCUAAUCAUAUAUUAAAAAAAGAUAAAAUAAUAAUUUUUUUGAUUGGUUUACUGAAUGAGACUACCCAUAUACUAAGUGUUGAUAAAAAUUUCCUUAAUUAUUAUAGAAAAGUUAGAAAUAAUUCAAUCGCUUUUCCUUAACUUACUUUUUUGCACUUAAUGUAAUAAAAAAAACUUCAAAACUUUAAUAAUGUAAAAUGAUUCUUACUAAAUUGUAUAGUUAAGUCUAAUAGGAUUGUUGAGACUUUGGUUCUUAAUUUAUGAAAUUUCAAUUUUUAUCCUAAAAAAAAAAAAACAAAGUAACAGGAAAGCUCAUAUAAAUGAACAUGCAAGAGAAAAAAAAAUCAUUUUUUAACUAAAGUAAAUUAUUGCAUACUUCCCUCCUAGAUUACUCUGAAAAAUAAAAAAUAAAAUACACAAAAUUAAAAAUAUACGAGCUUUGUUAACAGAUACAUAUUACGUACAUUUACGAUUACAUUCUUAGCAUAAUAUCAAAAUUUUCAAAAACAUUACAGUUCUUUUAUUCUAUUUACAUUGUAAGUAUCUCUCUACACAGAUUAUGCCAAAAAUACUUUUUGAAUAUCAGUUAAUCAGAUUUAAAAUAGAAUCAGGUGCAGGUGAUAUUACUUAAAAAAAUAAUAUUUCACUGUGCCACGGCAUAUAAGAUAAAAGUGUAAUCGGCAUAUAAGAAGGCACAAAAUCAAGAGAGUUGACAUGAAUGGACUGCUGUUGGGAGUGUGAGUUGGACGGAUUUGAAAUAAAGAUAAGAGGAAAGGCAUAGGUGGGACCUGUUUACUGUGCCACAGCAUGAACCGUGAUGUUUUUUGCCAGCUGGUGGACACGUGAUUCUUGAUUAGUUCAAUUACUGCAUUUGAUCAAACAUGGCCCCACUCUUUGAAUAUUUAAUUUAAGAAAAAAACCCAACCAGAACACCUCAUAUUUCCUGACUGAAAUGCUUGCUUGCUGCGGGCUACUACAAUAUAUAAGAUAUAUCUAUACUGAAACCCUUUAUCUUUAAUUGGCAUUAUUAAAAGAUUUUGUAACCUUACACCGUGGAAAUACUGGAAAUGACAAUUUUAACUCAUUUAAAUGUAAAAGUUAAUUAACAAAUUUAUUUUGGAUAAUUUAUACAAAAUAUGAAUAAAUAUUGUAUUUCUAAAAUAUAAGUCGUUUAAAGUAUUGCAUGCGAUUAAUGAAUCAAUUAAUUUCGCUAAAAAUUAUAUCACUCCGUCUCAAAAUUUAAGUUGUCUAAGGUGAUAAUUUUAUCACAAAAUAUAAGUCAUUUUGAAUAUUUUAAGAAAUUACAAAUGAUUUUUUUUCUUUCAACUGUAUCCUUAUUUAUAUUAGAUAUAAUACAACGAUGUGAGAUAAAAGUAACAAUGAGAGAUAAAUGAUAAUUUGUUCAAAUUACUCUUGAUUUUGUUAGAAAUUUAGAAAAAUUAAUUGCAUUUUUAAUUCUCGUAUAAAAAUCUUAAACGACUUAUAUUUUGGACAAAUAGAGUAAUAAACUCAACAAUAAUUUGAUUUAUGAGAAUUAAUUUAAACGAUCAAAUUAUCCUUAAUCUCAAAAUCAAGUUAUUGUAUUAUGAAUAAAGUUAAAAUUGGAAAAAAGAUUAUUUGUUAAAUAUGUUUUGAAAUCAAAUAGUUUUAUGAGUUAAAAAGAUUAGAAAUAAUCAUUUUUUAAAUUCAUUUGGUGUUAAAUUGGGAUGAUAAAUUAUCAAAAAAAAAAAAAAAAUAUAUAUAUAUAUAUAUAUUUGACAAACAGAUUGAAAGCUAGUUCUUUUGAAAGUUUACUGAGAACACAAAUUACAAGCUCAUAGUAGUUAGUAGCUUGAUUAAGGAAACCCAUGAAGGACAAAAUGACAGUGGCAAAUGCCUUUGAGACCAAAAGGCUUCAGCUUCAAUUUUUUAUAACGUAACAUUUAAUAUCUUUCUCUUUAUGAUUUUUAAAUUAUUGUAAUUGCUAUCAACAGUAUAAAGUAUAGAAAAUUCAUUAUAUAUAAUAUUGAAUAAAAAAAAAAAAAGGGUGAGAAAUGUCAUUAUUUAUAGAAUUAAUUCACACAAACAUAAAUGCGAAGCUUCAUUCUACCUUUUAGGUGCUACCAUUCACUGAAGGGGAACGCACGCAUCAUUGAAGCUCAACGCCUGUCUUUUGCACUUUUCAAACUGAAUCAUUUCAUUCGUGAAAUAAAUUGAUGGAUAAAGGGCAAUUGCCAAACAAUAUUAACGGCAAAAACAAACGAGUCUUUUUUUUUUUUCUUUUUCUUUUCUUUUCAUUAGAAUAUUUAAAGUAUUGGUUAGAGGUAUAAUUAUAAAAUAUAAUUGAUCUCAUAAUUAAUCUUUUCCUUUUCUUAAUAAUAAUCAUUAUAGUCUUGCUUUUGGUGUUAUAGUUGUUUUUUUUUUUUAAUAAUAAAAAAAUAAUGUAUUAUGUCAAUCGAAUGUGAUCUGAUUGGUAUUUCCAUUCACCUUGAGAAGUUUCAAAUUUUAGAUAGUUAACUAUCAGAGUUAUCGUCAAUUUUGCUUAUAAAACAACAAGAGAGCUACCUAUAUUAUGCAGCCCACAAAAAUUCUUUAUAAUAAAUUAAAAAAAUAUUAUUUUAUUAAAAUUGAUAUAUUAUAUUUGUUAUUUAAUAGUUUGAACUAGAAAAAUAAGCUACUAAAAUUCACACAGAUUUUCUUAAAUAUAAAUUUUUACUAUGAAAAAUAGAAAUCAAAGUCAGAAAACAGAAAUGAUACAAAAUAGACACGUAAUCAUAUUUGAUGAGCAUUUCUCAUAAUACACGUUAGCUUGUUUAGCUUGUUUCGUGUAAAUUGAUGAUCCCAUUCUGUUUCGACAUAAAUGGUAUCAUUGGUUAUUAUAAACAAUUUCAAAAAUUUUUGAGCUACCACCAUAAAUACAACUUGUAUGAUUUCAAUUUUCAAAUUUAAAAGUUAUCUAAUAUCUACUUUAUCAAUGGACCUACACCUUUCCAAAUUUCUUGUUAAUCUUAUGCAUUAGAAAAUUUAGCCAAAUAAAAUUGAUAUUAUAUAUCAAUUUUAUUUAUUUUUCAAUUUAAAAUCACAAGUUUAAUUAUCGGAAAAUGCAUAUACUAUGAAGAAAAAAUUUUUAUAAUCAACUAUCCAAAAGAGAUUAGUUUACACCAAUAUAGUAGAAGAAAAAUAGUGGAAGAACACGUGACGAUUCUAAUAUGAUAUACAUAAACUAAAAAUAUUUUAAAGGAGUCUUCACUUAUAAUUUUGUUUUCAAAAUUUAAUACUUGUAAUUUGUUUUAACCAACUAUUUACUAUUUUUAAUUGAUUUUGUAAACUCAAAACUCCAUUUAUUUUUCAAAAAAUAAUUUAUUUUUAAAAAAUAUUUUUAAAAGCAAAACAUACUUGAAAAUUUGAAAUAACACAUUUUCUAUUGUUUGGUUACAAUAUUGAAAAAUUGUUAAAAAAUAUUAAAGCUUUUAUAAGAUCGAAAAAAUUUAUAAUUAUAAAAAGUUUCACAUUUUAAAAUUUUAUUAUUUAAUACAACAUAAAUAUUUAUUACGUGCUUGAUUGUAAUUUGUAUCUAAGACUUAAUCAUAUUUUAUGGACCAAAGAUAUAUUUUGUAUAGAAUCCAGAUAGAAAUAAGAGAUUAUAUUCCUAAAUCCUUCGCUAACUCUCAAUGAACUAGCAAUCACUCCAAAAUACUUAUUGAAUUGGUAUUUCAAAUAUUUAUCUAAUAAAGAUUCCACCUACAACUCUAAUGAAAAUUCUUUACCUCUGUAUAAAAGAGGGAUCAAACUCCCUACUCACACUAUUUAGGCAAUGUAAUACCAAUAUAUUUCAUUCAAUUAUAAGUAUUUAUUAUUUAUUUACUGACUUAAACAUAAAAGUGAUUGCAGGCCUAGAUGAGACCUUUAUUAUUCGUUUAUGUCUUGCAGAUUUCUACGGACCUCUCUUUAUUUUUCCUUGUUCAUUUAUGUCUUACAGAUUUUUACAUAGGCGCUAUGGAUAGAUUUUUCUAAGUCUAUCAUUAUUAAAUAUGAGAAACAAUAUUAUAAAAAAAGAUAAAUUACGAUAUCUAUCGAUGACCGUGGUCGUGAAAAUAAUGAUUAAUUAAUAAUAAAUAUGUAUUUAUAAGUUUAUAAUAAAUUUAUCAGUAUCUGAAAAAUAUUUUUCUCUUUUAGAAAAAGAAAGUUAUAAAAAUGAUUUAGUUCUCUCUUUCUUAAGGAAAAUAUCAUCUGUUGCUAAUUUUCUUGAACACUUCAAACAUUAAAAAAAAAUCUAAAAAAUAUUAUUCAGACAAGUUAUUUCUCGAAAUUAAUGGAAUCUCAAUAUUAAUUUAUUAUUAUUUUUUCCAUUGAGAAAAAAAUAUAUUAGAUUUAUUCCACUAUUGAGAAUAAAGGAAAUCAUUUAAAAUAAGAAAGCUCAAAAAGUUAUAGCCGUAAUACUAAUAGCAUUAUUUCAAAUUUGUUUGACAUGAUGUAAUCAACCGAAAUGAUAAUUACAUUAUAUGAGUAAUUACAUUAUUUGAUUAGACUUUUUUUAAUAGCGUAGUAUAAUUGAGACUACGUGUAUAAUCUUCAUCACUUAAAUUGAUGUAAUACUCAUUACAUGAAAAAACACACAUAUUGUCUAUUACAUCAAGUAAAUGGAAUACCGAUUAUAUUAAGUCAUCCCAAUCAAAACUCUACCAUUCUAGAUUAUUUAGGCUGUGUUGGGUAAUAAAGUUUUGAGUGGCUUUUAAAGUUUUGACUGGUCAAAACGUUACUUAAAAAGUUGUUUGGUAACAUAGCGUUUGGACUAGCUUUUAGAGAUUAGAAUAACGUUUUGUGAAAAGUUAACUCACGUAACGUUUAGCUUUUAGCGUUUCAUGAAAAACUACUCAAACAGCUAACAACUAAACACUAUUAAAAUAGCAAAUAGCUACCAAAAUAGCUAAUUUUGCCGAACAUAUCCUUAAUACUACCACUUCACCACCACAACCACUAUCACCGCUUCACCACCACAGCACCACCUUAACACCCACCACAACCACUGCCACAAUUACUACUCCACCACCACCACCACCACUACUGUUCCAUCACUACUUCAACCACCAUUACCGCUCUGCAACGACAACCAUCACCAUUGUUCUACCAUCACCACUACUACCACCAUCACUGCUCCAUCACUAUCACCUCAACUACCACCACCGCUGCUGCUGCCUCAACUCCUACCAUCAUCGCUCCACCACCACUAUCACCACCAUCGCUUUACCACCACCACCAUGUGGUGGUGAUAUGAUUAGUGGUGAUGGUGUGCUAAUUAUAUUACAUAUUUACAAAAAAAAAAAAAAAGAACGAUGAUUAUAUUCCUAAAUUUUCUUGAUAAUAUUAUCAAACAUAGUAAUGAAAUCUUAAUUAAAUUACGUUUUUCAUCACAUUACUUCUUUAAUUACAUUAUAUUGCCUUACAUCAAACCAGACAUAGCGUUAGCAUGUAUAUCCUCAUACACAUCAAAACUUGACUCUAAUAUCUAUGAGAAAAAUGCACAGUUAAGCCCUUAAAUUUAAUCAGUUUUUCCAUUAAACUUUUAUUUAUGAAUAUUAAGUUUUUAAACUUUUAUUUUUUUUAAAAAAAUUAAACUCUAUUUAACCGAGAUUUAAACUUUUAUUUUUUUAAAUUAAACUCUUAUUUAAUUAUGAGUUAAACAAUUAUAAUCCCAUAUGUUAUACGCGGUUGAUGGGAAAACUUAAUCGAAUUGUUAAAUCUCUUAAACUUUUAUUUUUUGAAAAUUAAGUUUUUAAAUUUGUACUUUUGUUAAAGUGAGUAUUUAAAUUAUUUCCAUUAUCAGUGAUUUGAAUUUAUUAUUUACUCACUAUCGAUUUAGAACUUAAUUUUAACUUAAAUAAAAAUUGAAGGAUUCAAUAUUGAUAAAUGAAAUUGCAGGAGCUUAGUAGACAAAACUUGAAAAAUAAGAGGCUUAAGUACAUCUUUUACCAAAUAUAAUCAAGAGUUAAUUUACACUCACACAUAGGUGAGGAUAGGAUUAGGAUAGAAGUGUGGUAAGUGCCCGCGAACUUUGAGUUAUCCAUAUCUAUAUCUGUUUAGAGCUUUAAAAUCAAUUGUAUCUAUGUUAAAUCCGUUUAAAUACCUAUAUCAAAAUCUGUUUAAAAUUUUACUGUCCGAUCCAUUCAAAAUCUAUUUUAAAUACUUGUAUUUGAUGUUCAUAAAAUUUAAACCAUUUAAACACGAACUUAUUUAAAAAAGUAUCUUCCAUUGAUAAUGGAUAAAGUAUCAAGGAUACUCACAGUAAAACUCAUUUAAUAUAAUGGAUAACAAGUAACGAAUAUUCAAACUCAUUUAGUAAAACUCCUGAAUUCAAACGACAGGAUUUGCAAGUGAAGAGAGAUGGAACCUAAAACGGUUGGCUAUGUACUCAAUGUAGAUUCACUAACAAAGUACAACAAAUGCAAAUACCAAGUAAAAAGGAACAAAUGGUUAAGAAUUCAGACAAAGUCCUAACUUCAAAGUUCAAAGUUCAAACCAUAAAAUCAUUUCAGUAAGGAGAAAUCAAACUAAAACUUUUGAAUGUUAAAAUUUCAACUUUAACCACAGAACCAAAACCCUGUUAGCUAUGUACUAACACAAAGUGCAAGAAACACCGAGUACGAACUCAAGCACAGUAAGAUUGAGCUGGAUUGCCCAUAACCCAAAAACACUAGAAUGUGUCUGGUGUGGAGGGGUCCAGAAGCCAACUUAAAUAGAAGCAGAGGGACAACACUGGAAAUUAUGAUUUAAAAAAAAAAAAAAAAAAAAAACUAAAAAGCAAAGAGAGAAACAGACAAGAAAUAACCGUUGUAGGGGUGGCUUUUUGGGUUGGAUGCCAGGCUGACGCUUGAGCCCCCCUCAGAUGAUUCAGCUCACAUGGUCUAUCUGUACACUCUGGGUCCCACCCUCCACUUUCUCUCUCUACUACCCUCUUUGGAUUAGUUGUCAAAUGAUCCUUUUAUGUUAUCAUAUUACACACUUUCAUCCUAUCUAUUUCAAAGUUACUAACUUUAGUUAAUGAGAUUUAAUCUGCCAAAUGCAUAAAUUAAUAUCUAAAUUUUAUAAGAAGAGUCUAGUAGCACCUUUAAACGUUGAAAACUUCUUUUCGUAAAAUUAUAGCUAGUAAAUGCCUUAAUUUAAAAAACCGUAUUUAUUAAAUACUUAAACGUAUAUAAUUAUGUUUAUUAAAUAUUUAUCGGAUGAUUUAAAAUAUAAAAAUUUUAUUAUUUAAUAAAUUAUAUUAAAAGUUAUAUAAAAUGUUACACUUAUUGAAUAUAUUAUUUAGUAAUUGUUGUAAAAUUAAAAACCCUGUUUUUUUUUUUUUCAAAUUAAGUUGAUACUUAGUCUCAACUGUGCUUUUAUCCAUAAUUUUAAAUAAUUUAUUUGUAGAAACCCUAAAAACCAUAUAUUUUUCGUUGACAUAUCAUAAAAAUUAAAAUUAUUAAUUUCAAACUGUUUAAAUACUGGUAAAAUGUAAAAUAAUGCAAAUGGUGACAGUUUUUGCAACCAACUUUUUUUCUUGGAAAUUCUCUGUAUUACAAUCGUCUUUUAUAAUAUUUUUAUUAAUAUUAUUUUGUUCCAAACAUGCCCUUGUCUUAUCCAAAUAAUGCCCCGUACUCUCCUGCCCUUCUCUCUAUUCUUAUAAGGGCAGUGGCCUGUGGAUCAAAGACCACAGUCCCAAGAGAGAAGAGAAAGACAAAGCAAUUAAGCUCACAAGAGAGAAGCUCUUCUAUUUUCUAGAGUAAGAAAGAAGAAAGAAGACGAUGGCCAAGGAAGUAAGUGAAGAAACGCAAACUACCCAUGCAAAGGAUUAUGUUGAUCCACCACCUGCGCCACUGAUCGACAUGGCUGAAAUCAAGCUCUGGUCUUUCUACAGAGCUUUAAUAGCUGAGUUCAUAGCCACUCUCCUUUUCCUUUACAUAACUGUAGCCACUGUAAUUGGCUACAAGAAACAAACUGAUCCAUGUGGUGGAGUUGGUCUUUUGGGCAUUGCAUGGGCCUUUGGUGGCAUGAUCUUUAUCCUUGUUUACUGCACUGCCGGUAUAUCUGGUAAGUAAAAAAAAAAGGAACUAUUUCUCUAAGUUACUAGUACCCAAAUGGGUAUUUAUUAAGUUUUAGGUUUCUGUGAAGUUUCUUUGUGGAUUUGGUCAUUCAACUUGAAAAAUAACAAAACCCAUUUGUUUUCAAGACCUGUUUAAUAAUGGGUUUUCCUUAUUUUGGUUACAGGUGGUCAUAUUAACCCAGCAGUGACCUUUGGGCUGUUUUUAGCAAGAAAGGUGUCACUAAUUCGAGCCUUGGCUUACAUGGUGGCUCAGUGUUUAGGUGCCAUCUGUGGUGUAGGGUUGGUCAAAGCUUUUAUGAAGAAUCCAUAUAAUCAUCUUGGUGGUGGUGCUAACUCUGUAAAUACCGGCUAUAGCAAAGGAACUGCUUUGGGUGCUGAGAUCAUCGGCACUUUUGUUCUAGUCUACACUGUUUUCUCUGCAACUGACCCCAAGAGAAGUGCACGUGACUCACACGUUCCUGUAUGUUAUCAACCAUAGCCUAGUAUAGCUCUCCUCUUUCAUGUCAAAGAGUUCAAAUCUAAACUUUGUUUUGGUUAUGUUUGGUUGCAGAUUUUGGCUCCACUUCCAAUUGGGUUUGCAGUUUUUAUGGUUCACUUGGCUACCAUACCCAUUACUGGUACUGGUAUUAACCCAGCGAGGAGCUUCGGUGCUGCUGUUAUUUACAACAAUGAUAAAGUCUGGGAUGAUCAUGUAAGCCUCUUGAUAGUCAACCAGAAACUUAUUUUUCUUGAUUUUAUGGUUGUUUUGAAGUUGGUGCUUUUUAACAUAAAACAUCAGAAGUAGGUUAAUUUUCAAGAAUAUGUUUAUCUUCUUGAUAAAAUAAUUUAAUUUCCUUUUUAAUUAUUUUUUGGAUGGGCAGUGGAUUUUCUGGGUUGGACCGUUUGUUGGAGCAAUUGCAGCAGCUGCAUACCAUCAAUACAUACUGAGAGCAGCAGCUAUCAAAGCUUUGGGAUCUUUCCGCAGCAACCCCACCAACUAAAAUGAAAGAAAGAACGAAAGAAAGAAAAACAAGAAAAAAAAAAAAAACCAAAGGCUUUGUGUAGCUAUCUUUAGUCUCUAGUCUUUCUUUUUCUCUAUUUGUUUGUUUGUUGUGUGUAAUGAGAGGAUUAUGAUGAUGACCCUUCUUUCUUCUUUCUUUUUUUACUUCAUUUUUUCUUUUCUUAUUGUUCUUUUGUAUCAUUGUUAAUGAGUAGUGCUGUUCUUUUUUCUUUCUUUUGAUCAUAUUUAAUUGCUUUGUGCAGUGUAGAACGUUCUCUCUCAACACUCUUUUAAUAAUUAGCCACUAAAUAAACUACCAGCUAACUAAAUUUUUAUCCUCUCGACCUUCAUUACAGCGGUGCUAGUGAAUUUGUGAGUAGCGGUUAGGCCAUCUUCGGGAACAGUUUUUUCAUAUGGC